RNAcentral lists this long non-coding RNA (64453 nucleotides) under Hordeum vulgare. Its description in RNAcentral is "long non-coding RNA (HVUL_LNC001868)". Lineage: Eukaryota; Viridiplantae; Streptophyta; Magnoliopsida; Poales; Poaceae. The record is from RNAcentral.
UUUAUUUGUCUUUACAUGUGAAAUGCAUAAAUUACAACCAACUGGGCAAAAAUGGGAUAAAAAAAUUGCGGAAAGAUGCCUAGGCUACCGCCAUUGGGGUGUUUAAUCAUUUAGCUUGGACUACUUUCUUCCUGUCAGCACCGAGACCAUGAAGCGAUGCAUCUGUGAAGAAAGUAUCAAACAUUGAUGGAAUAUGUGUGUAAUCUAGCAAUGCUUUGACAAUCGAUGACGUUGUCCUCUCCUUCCUGCUGCCCUUUCCCAUCCUCUCUGCAAGAACUCUACCUUUCAUUUGUGGAAGGCAUGGAGACGCUGGAGCUCAUCUCAAGCCUCAUUUCUCUCACCAAAUUAUUUAUAUCAGAUUGUGGAGAGGGUCUACGAUUCAAGGACCUGGGGCCUCUCCUUACCACUGGGGGACAGCUCAAAGAUUUAACCGUCUAUCGGAACCCAAAAUUCUUUGCUGGAUGGGAGCGCUACUGCUGCAGAAUGGAAGAGACGAGCAGGAGCAGGAGCAGGAGCUGCAGCAGAUCGUAUCCCCUUCUGCAGAGUCAUUCAAACUGUUGGUGCUCUGGACGGAUGAGGCCGUGGGACUGCUUGCUGUACCCAUCUGCAGCCUUCUGUCUUCCUCCCUCACCAAGCUGUGCCUUUUUGGGACCUACCAAGAGAUGGAGAAAUUCACCAAGGAGCAAGAGCACGCCCUUCACCUCCUCGCCUCCCUCCAGGAACUCCAUUUCAGGAAAUUUGGCAAGCUUCUGAGCCUCCCAGCAGGGCUGCACAAGCUUACCAAACUCAGACAACUAUGGGUCAGGGAAUGUCCGGCUGUCCAGUCGCUGCCCGAGGAUGGUCUCCCCAUAUCACUUCAACAAUUAGAUGUCAGUGAAUGCGGCAAUGAGGAGCUAAAACAACAGUGCAGGCUGUUGGUGGGAGCCAUCCCAAAGAUGAGAAUCUAUUGCUAAUCCAAGGUAACACAAAUAUAUUUCCUUCCUUUUUCCCACCUACUUUCUUGCAUUAUAAUCUAAUAAAUGCUUUUUCCAUCUACUCCCUCCGUUCCUAAAUAUAAGACCUUUUAGAAAUUAUACUAUAAACUACAUGCGGAUGUACAUAGACAUAUUUUAGUGUAUAGAUUCACUCGUUUUGCUCCGUAUGUAAUCUUCUAGUAAAAUCCCUAAAAGGUCUUAUAUUUUGAAACGGAGGGAGUACUAUAUAUGCAUGCAGGCCUCUGCCUUGGGUUUUCCGUUGUACAUUCUUCUAGUCUUGUACAGCUCAGCUCUUGAUAUGCAUGCACUCUUGCUUGCCACAUGCAUGACACGGGGUCUUGUGAUCUUCUUCCUUGCUGUACAUAAAUCAUUUUGUACCAUGUCAAUUAUAUUUAAGAUGUGUCCUCCACUUCACUGUUCUUCUCACUCACGCUGAGAAAACCGAUGUGAUUAUCAAUGAAUGCCUUUUGGAAGUUUCUUUGUUUUCCUUGGUGGACGUACGGGAAUCAUGAAAUCGGUCAUGUAUUCACCAUCCGUUUCGGAUUUCUGUGCAGGUAUUCUUAUGGAUGUUCUUUUAGGCUUCCACAUACAGCUGCAACAACCAGUAUAUGCAAAUUAGAGCAUAAAGAAUUUGCAAUGAACUUGUUCACACAAAACAUAGCAAAUGUCAUUUCUAACCAGUGUUUAUGAAAAUGUAUUUAAUCUAUAAGAUAGCCAACUUCUUACUGAUUUCAAAUAAAAACCAAUUAUUUUCGACAUAAUGCAGAUAUUGUAAAUCAUAAAACAAUUUAAAUAAUGCACCAAGUUGUGCUUUUCUUCUAAACUAAUAGGCAUAAAUAGAAAAAUCUAGCUAAUCACAUCGACAUGCACUGCAUACAAGGUGCACUUGCAAGGAUCAAUAUUGGUAAGUUAUCUGUAGAAAUAAUGUUUUCCCCUUAGAAACUCAUAUUGACGGGGGGAAAAGAGGACGGGAAAUCAUCAACAAUGCCAAGUCAGAAAAUAACUUGUAUUAUAAAGAAUAGAGGAGAGUAUAUAUUGCAUGUGUUGAUUUUCGUUGAAUGCAUAAAAAUAAUUCAAACAACACAAUAAACCAGGUCAAAGUAAAUGGAGACUAUUGUUGCAACGUUGAAGAAAAAACAAGGAUACAUGCUAAAGGAAUUAUAUGAAUGAUGAAAAUUGUCAUUUCGCCUUGAAAGAUUCCACUGGUUGUCUUUGCAGUGCUUUGUAUAGAUUUUGAAGGCAUUUUAACUUCAAGAUUGGGAUAGAAAGCUACAGAAUACCACCAAAAAGAAGCAGUAUGUCAUAUUUUCUCACGACGAAAAGCUAUUUGUUAUAUUAGUAAAGGCCAUUAGAUCUAGUCAAGAAAGCAAUAUGUGCUCCUUAUAUUUUCUGAAGCAGUAUAACUUUGCUAGUUCAGGCAACUUCUUUGAUCCCAAAUUUGCUCAGGUUCCUCUGUACAACAGAAAUUUUUUGAGGAUCUCUAGUUACCUUUGGCAUGACUAAAAAUUAGAGAGGAUACUUGGGAUACUUGGCUUUAAUAAAAGAUAGGGCGACAAUGUAAGUGAUCUGCAAGAUAAGACACAUCCUAGACUUUACCUCACUAGUUAGUGUAUUGUCGGAAAGAUCAAGCACUUUCACUCUGAAAAUAUCAACCAGACCCAUCAUCUGCAUGUAAAAUUAAAGACCAUCCCCAAACAACUCGAACUGAAAGAUGUAAAUUUGAGCAUCACAUGCACAAAUUAAAAUCUAUAAGCUUUUACCUCAAGAGUCAAGACCUGUUAAUGAUUUUAGCCAUAAGCCGAGCUCUUGGCAAUGGUCCUCCUCCUGGCCAUUCCACCGAGCAGGCUGCGAGUUGAAACAUCAAACAUAUGAGAUGGUUACCACUAGCUAGCUUUCAAGAAACAUAUAUAUGAGAGCAUUGCCCAUUUCGGUAUUUGUAUUGCUUGACCGACAAAUGGCCGGUCAAACCAACAUUGACACAAAUCAAUAACCCCAACCUACAGGUAAUUGAAUCGAAAUGACAAAACACCAUACGGAUAAGUCCACGCGACACCUCCUUGAUGGCAGCUCGAAGAUUCACCCUAUUCGGCAUUCCAUCGAACAGGCUGCGCGCGGGGAAGAGCUCAACGCCGUGAGGACAGCGUGGAGCGCAUCAGACCAGAGCAAGGCAUUAUGCCGAGCAGGUGGCGCGCAAGGCAGGGCGUGGCAACGAAGUUGCAAUGGGCCAUGGCGGUUUCAUCCAUCCAUCCAUCAAUCGAGCAGAUCAACGGGAUGAAGGUCGAGACGACGAAGACGAGGCGGAGGAGAGGACUCACCGCCUUUGCAGCGGGGAACCAGCGGCCACCGACGAACUGGCAGUGCGGCUGGAGGUCCGCCUCCCGCGACGUGGGGAACGCGACCUGGUACACCCGCCUCGGAUCCUCGCCGGCCACCGCCGGCGCCUGCGGGGCCCUAGAGACGACGCCGGCCCACCACCCCUCGUUGUGCAGCGCCUCCACCAUGUCGUGCACCGCGAACCGCCUCGGCGCCGCGCGCGGGGGGCGCGGGCGCACGCAGGCGGCCGCCGCGGCCUCCUGGAGGGGCUCCCCGUCGUCGCCCUCCAGCGUGGAGUAGACCACCGUGUAGCAUCCGCCGCCGCCAUUGCAGGAGGAGGAGGGGGAGGUGGCCCGUGACGGUGGCCUCGUAGAAGGAGCCGGCGAAGCCCGGGUCUUCGUUGCGCACCUCCACCUCCACGCCGACCGACAGCACGUCGUCAAGGGUCCCCACCCCACGGAUCACCAUGGAUGGAUGGAUCCCCACCCCACGGAUCACCAUGAUACAUGUGCAUUUGUGACUGGUCACUCUCCAGGUUACUAAUGGCGCACCACCUACAAAUACGCCAUUAGUAACCCUGGUUACUAAUGGCGCACCAGCUCGUGGUGCGUCAUUAGUAGUUUUGCAAAAAAAAAUAUAGUAGUGGCGCACUGGGUGAGUGGUGCGCCAUUACUAGUUAAACUAAUAAUGACGCACUCUGCCCCGGUGCGCCAUUAGUUCUUUUGGAAAAAAAAAGUUUGUUAGUAGUGGCACACCAUGUGUGUGGUGCGCCAUUAGUGUCCAUCACACUAAUGGCGCACCUGCACAUGGUGCGCCACUGCUAUAGUAGUGGCGCACCACUUGUCUGGUGCGCCAUUAGUGUGUAUAUUAUCUAUAGCCCUUUUCCUAGUAGUGACGGCCACCAAGCUACAAGAGCUUUGUUUUGAACUAUAACAUGCAAGGGAUGAACAAGUCACCCGGCGAGUUAUUCGCGUUGCUGAAAGCCGUAGAGUCAGAACUCCGGAAAGAGCAUCAAGUGUUGAUGGUCAAUAAGACCACUGGUUUCAAGAGAAACGACAAAGGCAAGAAGGGUAACUCCAAGAAGAGUGGCAAGCCCGUUGCCAAUCCGACGAAGAAACCCAAGGCUGGACCUAAGUCUGAAACAGAGUGUUAUUAUUGCAAGGGACUGGGCCACUGGAAGCGCAACUGCCCCAAGUAUUUGGCUGAUAAGAAGGUGGCCAAGGAAAAAUUAGGUAUAUUUUAUAUACAUGUUAUUGAUGUGUACUUAACCAACUCUCGUAGUAGUGCCUGGGUAUUUGAUACCGGUUCUGUUGCUCAUAUUUGCAACUCGAAGCAGGAACUGCGGAAUAAACGAAGGUCGGCGAAGGAAGAAGUGACGAUGCACGUGGGAAAUGGUUCCAAGGUUGAUGCAAUUGCCGUCGGCACAGUUUCACUUCAGUUACCAUCAGGAUUAGUUAUGAACUUAAAUAACUGUUAUUUAGUGCCUCGUUAGGCAUGAACAUUAUAUUUGGAUCUUGUUUAUUGCGAGACGGUUACUCGUUUAAGUCAGAGUAUAAUGGUUGUUCUAUUUCUAUGAGUAAUAUCUUUUAUGGUCAUGCACCCAAUGUGAGAGGAUUGUUCAUAUUGAAUCUUGAUAGCGAUGAUACAUAUAUACAUAACAUUGAGACCAAAAGAUGUACAGUUAACAAUGAUAGCGCCGUGUUUUUGUGGCACUGUCGCUUAGGUCAUAUUGGUGUAAAGCGCAUGAAGAAACUCCAUUCCGAUGGACUUUUGGAGUCACUUGACUUAGAAUCACUUGACACAUGUGAACCAUGCCUCAUGGACAAGAUGACUAAGACUCCGUUCUCGGGAACAAUGGAGCAUGCAAGUGACUUGUUGGAAAUCAUACAUACUGAUGUGUGCGGUCCGAUGAGUGUGGAGGCACGCUGCGGAUAUCGUUAUUUUCUCACCUUCACUGACGAUUUGAGUAGGUAUGGAUAUAUCUACUUGAUGAAGCACAAGUCUGAGACGUUUGAGAAGUUCAAGCAAUUUGAGAGUGAAGUUGAAAAUCAUCGUAACAAGAAGAUCAAGUUCCUACGUUCUGAUCGUGGGGGUGAAUAUCUGAGUUUCGAGUUUGGUGCUCACUUAAGACAAUGUGGAAUUGUUUCACAGUUGACACCGCCUGGAACACCACAGCGUAAUGGUUUGUCCGAACGUCGUAAUCGUACUUUGUUAGAAAUGGUGCGAUCUAUGAUGUCUCUUACUGAUUUGCUGUUAUCAUUUUGGGGUUAUGCAUUAGAGACACCUGCAUUCACUUUAAAUAGGGCACCAUCAACAUUCGUUGAGACGACACCAUACGAACUGUGGUGUCGGGACCCCGAUCCUAAGCCAUAGGAAUCCAGCCUGUAACACAUCGCAUUGCUUUGUGGUCUCACGCACGGUUAACUCCACGGCUGCAGCCUUACCUUAGCCGGGACCGUUUGCGUCUUUUGACUCACGUAUGCGAUAGUGUCGCUAGCAAUCCAAUGUCAAAGAACCCGGAUCAACAUGUCUAGUCAUAAACCAAAGUGGCAGUACCGCACAAGGACAGGCAUACAUGACCCAACAAAGCAGGUGUCGGUCAUCAGCGAAUGUAGACGAGUCGUAGCAAGCUACAAGGACUCCAUUACAUCGCGUGACACUUCCCCAAAGGGGACAGACACAACAGCUAAGAAGGACACAUGCCGGUCAACCAAUGUGUCCGGAGCAGUAGCGAACUACCAAGGCUCGUUGGAUCACAAAGGGGCAUUUCCUUGUAAGGAGUGCUACUAAAGUUCACGACUAGGUAAUCGAACCCCAUACAUAUCAAGUACGACACACGUACGCAUGGCAUACCGAUAUGUAUAGAUACAUCGAUGGCAUCACAACAUAACCAUAAACAUACAAACUUUAUUUAAGAGGCUCGGAAGAGCCACACACAUAAUAUUACACAUCAAGGGUCUCACGACCCAUGAUAGCAGUCAUUCAAUUACAAGCCAGCGGAAGAGUUAUAAACUGUCUGGGUACAGACAGGGCAACUAGAAGGCACAUGGCCUGACUAUACUACAGAGCCGAUGUAGGGCCAGAUCGUAGCUGGGACACCAGCUACUCGUCGUCGUCGAUGUCUACGAAGAACCCUCCAUUAGGGUCAUUAGCAACCUCUGCAACAUUUAUUAAGCAAACAUGAGUACGAAGGUACUCAGCAAGACUUUAGGAUGACUAACUACUCAUGCAAGGUAUCAAAAGGUGUUGUCGGGUUUCAUGCGGAAAGCCAGCAUUUGACUCGUGGCUAGACAACUUGCAUUUUUAAAUAAUUUUGACAACUUGAUUUCUUGCACACGAGUCCAUUAACAUCACAACAAUACUCUAUCGUGGAAUCAUUCCGUCUCCGUACGGAAAUGCCGUCCACGACACUCACGCUUAUCUUGGCAAUUUUAUGAGUAGCCAUCGAAGUUAUCUAUGAACAACAUAUGUCUCCAAGUAGUCCAUAUCCGCGGACGCGGCUAUUCGAAUAGAUCAUAACCCUGCAGGGGUGUACUUCGUCACACACGCUCCCGCCACUUAUCGCCAUGUGCACAUCAUGCACCUCGGCAACCUUCAAGCGCAAGCCCAGCGAGGGAGUCGGCCACGACCGUUAACCACACUAGUACCUAGUCCAGGUUUAUCGCCUAUCUGAGAGUAACCCGUACGGAAGUCCGGCCGAGGUUUCCGCCACGGCCUCAAACGAUGUGCGCAGGGUUGCCAAGCCCACCAUCCGGGUGCCACUUGGUACACCGUGCCACUGCCUACCGCAUCACGGCCCACCUCUCAGGUCAGCACCAUACACGGCCUCCAGCAUUACUAUAAACACCAGAAACUACUUGCAACUCCUGGACCAAGUACUACGCGAUUAAUAGGCCGAGCGGGGUCAUAUUUCAGAGCCCAGCAUGUGGUAGUAUCUAGUCCUUGAUUACAUACACGGAACUCAGUUCCUAAGGACGGUUCCAAUGAAACAACCCGCCAUGUACUCCUACACAGCCUUUCACCGGUACCUUUACGAAAUCAAGUUCAACACACAACCUUUGCUCACCAAACACAUUCCACAAUUCUGUUCAUCUCCCAGAUGACAGACCAUACACAACUCUAAGCAUAGCAUGCAUAGCAGGAUAAGGCACAUCAUAGCUCAAGCAACUACCAGGUAUGCUAGGUUGCAAGGUUCGGCUAUUUACUGUGACAAGGUUAGGUCAUGCAAAGGAAGUGGGUUCAACUAUCGUGGCAAAAGAAGUUGAAGCAUUUGAUCCUAAUGCAAUAAAUAAGUGCAGGAGCAAGAACAUUGGAAUUAUCGGGAUGAUCAAAAGGGUUUCUUGCCUUGUUGCUCAGAGGAGGAACAAUAUCCGUCAGACGGAUAUUUGGUGGAAUCCGGGGGUGCGGAGCCGACCGAAAUAAAUGGCAACAUUCAAUAACAAUCAUAUGCAAUCAAAAUGAUGCAUGAGCAUGGCAUGAGAAUGCAAGGUGAUAAGUUAUUAUAAUCAACAUGUAUUAGGUUUAAAGUUGAUUUGAAUCACAUUCGAAUAUCAAUUCAAACGGGUAUUCUCGGAUACCAUUUUAAUUGAUUCGACCUGAUGCUCAGAUCAACUUGAUGUUAGCAUGCAUGAAAUGUCAUGUUUUUCAUAUAUAACUUAUUUUCAUUGGAGUUACAGAUUAAUUUCUAUGAUUUUUACAAGUUUUAGCAAUUUACUGGAAUUAUUUCUAUACUGGAAAUUCUAUUUAUUGCAUCACGCUGACGUCAGCAGGUCAGCCGACCUGUUCAGGUCAAACCUGACAGGGGGGCCCCACUGGUCAGCCUCUCUGGGACUAAUCCCGCGCUGACCAGCCCCUAAUUGGGGUUUGACCAGGCGUGGGGCCCUCUGGCAGCGACUGAGGGGAGGGCAAUUACGCCCUAAUGGUCGGCCACGUCGACGCCCACCGGAGGGUGGUCGCCGGCGACCAAGCCCGCGGCAGAGGGCUCGCCGGAGACGACCUAAUCGGCGCUGCACAGCACCAAUUUGAACGCGGUUUGCAGCUACGGAACGCUGGUGAAGUGGCCGAUCUGGCAGGGGCAUCAGGGGAGGCUAGGGUCGCCGGGAGAGGCGCCGGCGACGAGCCGGAGCGGCGGCCGAAGCUCGGCCUUCUACGAGCGAUGGUUCUAGGGCACGGGGAGGGCAGCUGGAGGGCUCAUCGCACUCCUGGAGGCUCCAGGAGCUCGAAUCCUAGCUCGAGCGCGUGGAUCAGACACCACAGCGACGGCAACGACAUGACCGGCGGCGAGAAGCUCUCGGCCUUGGUGGGGAACGAGGCUACGAUGCACGGGAGAGCGUGGGGCGAGAGGGGAAACGACGACGAGCUCACGACGGUUCCGAUGGUGCUGUUGAGGGGCUCGGGGAUGCGCCGGAGGUAGCGAAUCGACGGGAGAGGUCCGGCGGCCGGAGGUGGAAGACGAUGGCGUUGGGGGCGAUGCAAAGCUCGGGGAAGCUUCGGCUUCUGCAGAGAUGACCAGGGCGACGAGGCGGAGCUAACAGACUACUCGGAGGAGGGUUCCCAUGGCUAGAGGUGCUGCGGCUCGAGCUCGAGCUCGGCUCCAAUGGCGGCAGCAGGAAGGAGGGCAAGAUCCGAGAGGAGGGAGAGAGUUAGCGCUGGGAAUGGAUAGAGGAGGCCUCGGGGAGCUUAUCCCCGGCCUUGCCAGCGCGAGGCGGCGGCCAGGCAGGCGCACAGGUGCGUGGCCGCGCCGGAGGAGGCGGCGGCCACCUCCUGCUCCUACUGGCGCGAGGGAGGGGACGAGCCAGGGAGAUGGGUCGGGCCAGGCUAGGCGACAGGUAAGAGUUUCCCAUUUUUUUUCUGUUUUUGUUUUUCUGUUUUCCUAACUAUUGUUUUGCUAUUUAUUUCAGCUCCAAAACAAAAAGUUUUUUAGACCUCCUGAAAUAUUGUUAUAAUAUUCCCAACCAUUUCCAAAGUUUUCAACAAUUUUGAAAAUUUAUAGUUUCUGAUUUCAAAUUUAAAAUUUGAAACCAGUGGCUUUUGCAUUAAUUUAAAAUGCUUAAAGUGUCAAGAAAAUAGUUUUCUCCAAUGCUCAUUUACUUUCAUGAUUUAUCAGAAAGUUUGAACAUUUCUUGAGGCCAUUUUGGGUUCAUUGAUUUCAACUCGUUUGAGAUUUUCUUUAUUUAAAGUAGUGGCUAGAGUUUUGAGUUUUUCCUUUGCCACUUUCUUGUUCUUGUUGAAAAAAAUUCUUAGAUGCAAAUGCAAAGAAGACAUGAGCACAAGACUAACUUGCUUAAAGUGUCAGGGAUGUGACAUGUGGUAUGUCAAAAGACCGAAGUUGUCGUUUCUUAAAGUUUGGAGAUGUGAUGCUUAUGUCAAAAAUCUUCAGCCAGAAAAGCUCGAACCCAAAGCGGAACAGUGCGUCUUCAUAGGUUACCCAAAGGAGAUAGUCGGUACACCUUCUAUCUCAAAUCCGAGGGCAAAGUGUUUGUUCCUAAAAACGGAGCUUUUCUUGAGAAGGAGUUUCUCUCGAAACUCGAAAGAAUUGAGUGGGAGGAAGAUAGAACUUGAUGAGAUUGUCGAACCUCUAGUCCCUCUAGAUCAUAGCGCAGGGCAAGGGGAAACCCUUGUCAAAGCGACGCCAGUUAAGGAGGAAGUUAAUAAUGAUGAUCAUGAAACUUCGGAUCAAGUUCCUAUCGGACCUUGCAGGUCGACAAGAUCACGUACUACUCCUGAGUGGUGCGGUAAUCCUGUCUUAUCAAUCAUGUUGUUAGACAACAAUGAACUUGCGAAUUAUGAAGAAGCAACAGUGGGCCCGGAUUCCAACAAAUGGCUAGAGGCCAUGAAGUCCAAGAUAGGAUCUAUGUCAAAGUGUGGACUUUGGAAGUAUUACUUGAAGGCCGCAAGGCUAUUUAGAACAAAUGGAUCUUUAAGAAGAAGACGGACGCGGACGAUAAUGUGACCGUUUAUAAAGCUCGACUUGCGGCAAAGGGUUUUUCACAAGUUCAAGGAGUUGACUACGAUGAGACGUUCUCACCGGUAGCGAUGCUUGAGUUCGUCCGAAUCAUGUUAGUAAUAGCUGCAUUUUUCGAUUAUGAAAUCUGGCAGAUGGAUGUCAAAACGGCGUUCCUUAACGGUUUUCUUAAGGAAGAGUUGUAUAUGAUGCAACCCGAAGGUUUUGUUGAUCCGAAGAAUGUUAACAAAGUGUGCAAGCAUCUCGGAGUUGGAAUAAGUGCUUUGAUGAGGUGAUCAAAUCAUUUGGGUUUAUACAAGUUGUUGGAGAAUCUUGUAUUUACAAGAAAGUGAGUGGAAGCUCUGUGGCGUUUCUAAUAUUAUAUGUGGAUGACAUAUUGCUGAUUGGAAACAACGUGGAGUUUUUGGAGAGCGUAAAGGAUUACUUGAAUAAAAGUUUUUCUAUGAAGGACCUAGGAGGAGCUGCUUACAUUCUAGGCAUUAAGAUCUAUAGGGAUAGAUCGAGAUGCGUGAUAGGACUUUCACAAAGCACAUACCUUGAUAAAGUUUUGAAGAAGUUCAAAAUGGAACAGUCCAAGAAGGGGUUAUUGCCAAUGUUACAAGGUAUAAAAUUGAGUAAGACUCAGUGUCCAGCAACUCCGGAAGAUAGAGAACAAAUGAGUUCCGUCCCCUAUGCUUCAGCCAUAGGUUCUAUCAUGUAUGCAAUGUUGUGCGCUAGACCAGACGUCAGCUUGGCCAUAAGUAUGGCAGGCAUGUUUCAAAGUAAUCCAGGAGUGGAUCACUGGACGAUGGUCAAGAAUAUUCUGAAGUACCUGAAAAGGACUAAGGAAUUUUUUCUCGUUUAUGGACGUGAUGAAGAGCUCGUCGUAAAGGGUUACGUCGACACAAGCUUUGACACUGAUCCGGAUGACUCUAAGUCUCAAACCGGAUACGUAUUUAUUCUUAACGGGGUGCGGUAAGCUGGUGCAGUUCCAAGGAAAGUGUCAUAGCAGAUUCUACAUGUGAAGCGGAGUACAUGGCUGCCUCGGAGGCAACAAAGGAGGGUGUCUGGAUGAAGCAGUUCAUGACGGAUCUUGGAGUUGUGCCGAGCGCACUAAAUCCAAUAAUGUUCUGUGACAACACUGGUGCCAUUGCUUUAGCAAAGGAACCAAGGUUUCACAAGAAGACCGGGCACAUGAUAACCCACAAGUGUAGGGGAUCGCAACAGUUUUCGAGGGUAGAGUAUUCAACCCAAAUUUAUUGAUUCGACUCAAGGGGAAGCGAAAAAAUAUUCUCAAAUAUUAGUAGCUGAGUUGUCAAUUCAACCACACCUGAAAGAUUAGUAUCUGCAAGCAAAGUAUCAGUAGCAAAGUGGUAUGAUAGCAACGGUGCCAGAAAAAGGUAUGUUGAUGGCAGACUAUUCCUAACUUGUUGUAUCAAUGGCGCCAAAAAAAUCUUGCAGCAGGUAACAGCAAAGUAGCAAGUAACAACAGUAGUGACAGCAGUAGCAACAGAGUAACAGCAGUAGCAACAGAGUAACAACAGUAGCAAGGAACAACAGUAGUGACAGCAGUAGCAACAGAGUAACGUAACAAGGACCAGUAGUAAAAGACUCGUAGGCACUGGAUCGGUGAUGGAUGAUUCUGCCAGAUGUGAUUCAUCAUGUAACAGCUAUAACAUGGAGAGAUAAGUAACUAGCUCCCGUUCGUCAAUCUAAUGUAGGCAUGUAUUACGUAUGUAGUCAUACGUGCUUAGGGAAAAGAACUUGCAUGCCAUCUAUUGUCCAUCCCUCCCAUGGCAGCGGGGUCCUAAUGGAAACUACGGGAUAUUAAGGUUCUCCUUUUAGUAAAGAACCGGACCAACGCACUAACACUUGGUGAAUACAUGAACUCCUCAUACUAUGGUCAUCUCUAGGAGUGGUUCCGGAUAUUGUCACUCCGGGGUUGCCGGGUCAUAACACAUAGUAGGUGACUACAACUUGCAAGAUAGGAUCUAAAACACACAUAUAUUGGUGACAACAUAAUAGGUUCAGAUCUGAAAUCAUGGCACUCGGGCCCUAGUGACAAGCAUUAAGCUUGGAAAAGUAGUGGCAACAUCAAUCUCAGAACACAGUGGAUACUAGGGAUCAAUCCCCGUCCAAACUAACUCAAUUACAUGAUAGAUCUCAUCCAACUCAUCACCGUCCACCAAUCCUACGAUGAGAUUACUCACGAACGGUGAAGAGCAUCAUGGAAUUGGCGAUGGAGGAAGGUUGAUGAUGACGAUGGCGACGAUUUCCCCUCUCCGGAGCCCAAAACGGACUCCAGAUCUGCCCUCCAGAUGAAGAACAGGAGGUGGCGGCGCCUCCGUAUCAUCAAACGCGAUGAAUCCUUCUCCCUGAUUUUUUCCGAGCAAAACGGAAUAUAUAGAGCUGAGUUUGGACGCGGUGGAGCCUCGUGGGCCCCACAAGCCUGACUGGUGCGGCCUGGGGGGUGGUCGCGCCCCCUGUGCUUGUGGCCCACUGGCUCACCUCCUCUGGUGGAUCUUUGCGCAGGUAUUUUUCAUUAAUUCCAGAAAAAUUCUCCGUAAAUUUCCAGGUCAUUCCGAGAAUUUUAUUUCUGCACAAAAACAACACCAUGGCAAUUCUGCUGAAAACAGCGUUAGUCCGGGUUAGUUCCAUGCAAAUCAUGCAAAUUAGAGUCUUAAACAAGAGCAAAAGAGUUCAGAAAAGUAGAUACGACGGAGACAUGUCAACUCCCCCAAGCUUAAAGCCUUGCUUGUCCUCAAGCAAUUCAGCAAGAUCACAAGCAAACCACAUAAGCAAAUGACAUCUAGGUCUCACGGUAAACUCAUAUCAAUGGCAUAAUCAACUAGCGAGCAAAUAAUAAUAAGUCUCAAAUGUCAACACUUCAAUCAAAACAACAUGAAGCAGUACGAAUAGAUGGUAUCUCGCUAGCUCUUCUGAGACCGCAAAACAUAAAUGCAGAGCACCUUCAAAGACCAAGGGCUGACUAAACAUUGUAAUUCAUGGCAAAGAAGAUCCAGUCACAGUCAUACUCAACACAGUUAAAAUCAAAGCAUAAAAAUGGCAGGGGUGCCCCCUAAUUGGUGCUUUUAUAAGAGGACGAUGACUCAACGGGAACAUAAAUAGACAGGCCCCUCGCAGAGGGAAGCAUUGAUUUGCAGAGGUGCCAGAGCUCAAGCUUUGAAAACAGAGAUAAUAAUUUUGGGUGGCAUGCUUUCAUUGUCAACGCAAUGACUAAGAGUUCUCAACAUCUUCCAUGCUACACAUGCUAUAGGCGGUUCCCAAACACAAAAGUAAAGUUUUGACUCCCCCACCAGCAAUCAAUCACACUCCACGGCUAGCCGAAUCCGCGGGUACCGUCCAUACCAACAUCAAUCAUGGGGGAGUUUUGUUUGCAAUUAUCUUUUCGAUUUGAGCAUGGAACUGGGAAUUCCAAUUACCGGCCCCUUUCUCGUGAAUGAUAGUAAAUAAACACAUAUCGAGGAUAACACGCCUAGCAUGGAAGAUACUAAUAGCCCCCUGUCACAACAUGAGCGGUUCGAGCACGCAAAACAGAUUAUUUCUUGAAGGUUUAGAGAGUGGCACAUGCAAAUUUACUUGGAACGGCAGGUAGAUACCGCCUAUAGGUAGGUAUGGUGGACUCAUAUGGAACAACUUUGGGUUUAUGGAAGUGGAUGCACAAGCAGUAUUCCCGCUUAGUACAAGUGAAGGCUAGCAAAAGACUGGGAAGCGACCAACUAGAGAGCGACAACGGUCAUCAAAAUGCAUUGAGAUUAACUAACAUUGAGUGCAAGCAUGAGUAGGACAUAAAUCACCAUGAACAUGAAUAUCAUAGAGGCUAUGUUCAUUUUGUUUCAACUACAUGCGUGAACAUGCGCCAAGUCAAGCCACUUGAAUCAUUCAAAGGAGGAUACCAUCCUAUCAUACUACAUCAUAGUCAUCUCAACAUUCAUGUGGGCAUCCAAGACAAACCAGUAUAAGCUCCUAGCUAAUUAAGCAUGGCAUCAACAACUAUGAUCUCUAAGUUGUCAUUGCAAACAUGUUUCUCUCACAACAAAGCUGAAUCACGCACAGUGAGCUAGUCAUAUUUACAAAAACAAAAUAGAUCGAGUUCAUACCAGCUUCUCCAGGCUCAGUCACUUCAUCAUAUAUCGUCAUUAUUGCCUUUCACUUGCACAACCGAACGAUGUGAACAAUAAUAAGCGUGCUCGUGCAUUGGACUACGCUUUAAUCUACAGGCAAACACAAAGGAGAAGACAAAGUAAUAUGGCUCUUGAUAGCUAAACAGGUAUGCAUGCGAGAGCCACUAAACAUUGUAACCAUGGUCUUCUACCUUGACCCAAAGAAAAAGAGAACUAUCUACACGGGAAAGCUCCCACCAAGCAAAAGAAGAAAAAGAAAAUAUUUUUGGGUUUUCUCAAACUAGAUAGACACACGAAAAGAAAACAAGAAAAAGAAAAUAAACUAGCAUGGAUGAUACAGUGGCAAAGUGUGAACACCGAUGAACAAAGUGAAAGCAUAAGCAAGAAUGUAAACUCGGUGAGAACACGUACUCCCCCAAGCUUAGGCUUUUGCCUAAGUUGGUCUACUCCCAAGGAGGGAAAUAACCAGCUCUGGGGUACUCCGGAGUGGACUGAGGAUGCCACUGCUGUGUGAGCUCCUCUGGCUCCCACUGAUAAACUGGCGUCUGGUACUCGACUGGUGGCUCUGGCACGAGCACCUGUGGUUGGGCUAAGCCCCAAUAUGCGUAGAUGUCCGAGGGCAUAAUAGUGUACAUGUAUUCAUGAAGAUUGAACAAAGAAGGAGCAGGCAAAGUAAUAAUCUCACGAGUACCCUGACUAAAUACCAGGUUAUAAAUUAUCCUUCUAUUUAUAUCUCUAUCAAGAAAGUCAUGGCGAACCAUGCUAUCGUAAUCUACAUAUCUCUCGAGAAGAAGAAUCUCUUCUUCCUCUUCGAGUCUAAUAGGUAUCUCAAAAUGUCUGGCAAGACGAGUAGCGUAGAUACGUCCGUAGACAACGCCUUUACAACAGUUCAUGUUUAACCGUUGAGCUACUAUAACGCCCAAGCUAUAAGUUUUAUCGUUAUAAAGGGCUUCGUGCAAGACCGCAAGAUCUGGGGAGCUAAGGGACCCGGCCUUCCCACGGCUAAUCAAACAUUUUCCCACAAAUAGUGAGAAGUACCGAAGCACGGGAAAAUGAAUGCUAGUAGCUCUAGCGCAAGACACUCCCUCUCCUCUCCUACAGCAAUUGUAUCGAUGAAAGCUUCCAAGUCCCGUGGACGAGGUUCAUGAAUAUUCCCAACAAAAGGCAAUUUGCAAACAUUGCAAAAAUCCUGGAGUGACAUGCGCAGGGGGAUAUCAUAAAGUUUGAACUCAACCAUAGGAGGAUUCUUCCUCGGAUAGAAGUUAAAGCUUUGUAGGAAGAUAUUAGUGAGGAGUAGGUAUUGCGGACACUUAUCUUCAACGAAGGUGGUAAGACCUGCGUUCUCCACCAAGUGAUAAAAGUCUUCAUAAAGUCCAGCGACGCGUAAGAACACAUCGCUUGGCCAUUCGCAUGCUCGAACUUCCGCGACUCGAGGGACCAGAUACUUGGGCUUCUUAUCACUCCCAUCAUCCUUGGAGUCACGACUUGAAGAGCCUCUUAAGAAUCUCCUCAUCUUUUCCCUUUUCUAUCUCUGAAAAUUUCUGAAAUUUUUAGUGAUUCUAAGGAAAAGUGAACAAGGCUCAACAAAACUCCUAGCAACUACUCCCACAAGUGCCUAGAGGCCAUAUUACGCAUCAAAACUACUUGGCACCAGCUAAAAUUAGCAUGCAAAGCUCAAGAACAUGGUCACCAAGGCAGCAAAAAUAUGCGGAGUAUAAGGCACUAGAGCAAAAACUAAUUGGACCAAUGGAGGAGUCACUUACCAAGGAGUAAUUUCCCCAAAACAGUUCGAAGAAUGGUGCUUUGAGCAAAGAGAUCGAAAAUCCCAGCAAGAGGAGCAAGAACACGGGUUUGAGCUGCGAAACGAUUUUUUCUAGAGGUAGGAGAACCAGAUGAGAGCAAGAAUGAGUGGAGGGGGUGCCUGUGGGCCCCACAAGCCUGGGUGGCGCGGCUAGGGGGUGGCCGCACCCCCUGGGCUUGUGGCCCACUGGUGCAGCCCCCUGACAAGCUCUUCGUCUUAGUAUUUUUCAAAAAAUCCAGAAAAAAUCAUACUUGAUUUUCAGGACGUUCGGAGAGCUUUUAUUUUCGGGGUAUUUUUCCACGGGACGCUAAAACAGAAAAUAGGGAAAACUAAACUAAAUAUAUCAUUUUUCUUCUAAGCAACCGAAGGUGAAAGCUUGGAACAGAGGUUUGUGACUCCUCGAUUCAUCCAUCUCAUGGUCAUCGAAAGAAAUCCGUCAAUGGGGUUGAUCAAAUCCCCUCGACAAAACUUCUCGAAUCGCAAAAGAAGACGGAGAAUUUUUGAAAAGUCACUAGGUUACCUCAAUGGGGAUGUGUAUCUACCCAACAAGCAAAUCAUACUUCAUCUUGACAUGAGGAAUAGGGCAUUCAAAGCUUCCAAUAAGAAUCGAUGAAGUCUUUUCGAUAGCAUUGAUGCAAUGUACUCGAUAUUGUUUCUUCGGAAAGUGCACCGUAUGCUCAUUACCGUUGACAUGGAAAGUGACAUUGCCUUUGUUGCAAUCUAUAACAGCCCCUGCAGUGUUUAAAAAGGGUCUUCCGAGGAUGACAGCCAUGGCAUCGUCCUCGGGAAUAUCCAAGAUAAGAAAGUCUGUUAAGAUAGUGACGUUAGCAACCACAACAGGCACAUCCUCGCAAAUGCCGAUAGGGAAAGCAGUUGAUUUGUCGGCCAUUUGCAAAGAGAUUUCAGUGGGUGUCAACUUAUCCAGUUCAAGUCUACGAUAAAGAGAGAGAGCCAUAACACUAACACUGGCUCCAAGGUCACAUAAACCAGUUUUAACGUAGUUAUCUUUAAUGGAGCAAGGUAUAGUGGGCACAUCGGGAUCACCUAGUUUCUUAGGAGUUCCACCCUUGAAGGUAUAAUUAGCGAGCAUGGUGGAAAUAUCAACCUCAGGUAUCCUCCUCUUAUUAGUCACAAUAUCUUUCAUGUACUUAGCAUACGGAGACAUUUUGAGCAUAUAUGUCAAACGCAUUUGCAGAAAGACAGGUCUGAUCAUUUCAACGUAUCGCUCAAAAUCCUCAUCAUCCUUUUCUUUACCAUGCUUCCUAGUAGUGAAGUCAUUCUUAUCGUAUCUUCUAUUCUUAGGCUGUGGGUUAUCAAGAUCAACAGGUUCAAUCUCCACAUCCUUAUCAUUGCUAGGUUGAGCAUCAUCAUGAACAUCACUAUUGAUAUCAUCAUUAGGCUCAUGUUCAUCACCAGAUUGUGUUUCAGCAUCAGAGACAGAGACAUCGUUUGGACUCUCAGGUGUAGCAGCAACAGGGUUGCUAACGUGCAGGUUCCUAUCAUCUUUCUUCUUCUCUCUAGGAUGACUAGGUGCAUCAGUGCUAACUCCUUGAGAAUCUUGUUCAAUUCUCUUCAGAUGACCCUCAGGAUACAAAGGUUCCUGGGUCAUUCUACCGCCUCUAGUGACGACUCUGACAAAAUUGGCAUUCAACUCAUUGAGCAAGUCAUUUUGAGCCUUAAGUACUUGUUCUACUUGAGUAGUAACCAUACAGGCAUGUUUACUCAGAAGCUUAAGAUCAUUGACAUUUUUGUCCACACAAGCACUUAAAUGACUAAUCAUACGAGCAUUCUGUUCCAAUUGUCUGCUAACAUAAUCAUUGAAACUCUGUUGUUUGGCAACAAAGUUAUCAAAUUCAUCCAUGCAUAGGCUAGCAGGUUUAUCAAAAGGAAUAUCACUCUCAACAAACCUACGCAGAGAAUUUACUUCUACUAUGUGUAUCGGGUUAUCGAGACCAUGGAUCUCUUCGAUAGGUGGUAGAUUUUUGACAUCUUCAGAUUUAAUGCCUUUCUCUCGCAUAGAUUUCUUAGCUUCUUGCAUAUCUUCGGGACGGAGGAAUAGAAUACCUCUUUUCUUCGGAGUUGACUUAGGAGGUGGUUCAGGAAUAGUCCAAGCAUUCUUAUUACACAAGAUGUUAUUCAAUAGAAUCUCAGCUUGUUCUACAGUUCGUUCCCUAAAAACACUACCGGCACAACUAUCUAGGUGGUCUUUGGAAGCAUCGGUAAGUCCAUUAUAGAAGAUAUCAAGUAUUUCAUUCUUCUCAAGAGGGUGAUCAGGCAAAGCAUUCAGUAGCUGGACGAGCCUCCCCCGAGCUUGUGGGAGACUCUCUUCUUCAGCUUGAAUAAAGUUGUAUAUUUCCUGCAAGGCAGCUUGCUUCUUAUGGGCAGGGAAAUAUUUUUCAGAGAAGUAGUAGACCAUAUCAUGGGGGCUACGCACACAACCAGGAGCAAGAGAAGUGAACCAGGUCUUAGCAUCAUCCUUUAGCGAGAAAGGAAACUGCUUGAGGAUAUAGUAGUGGCGGAUCUUUUCCUCACUAGUGAAUAGGGUGGCUAUAUCAUGCAGUUUGGUAAGAUGGGCUACAUCUGUUUCAGACUCAUAAUCGUGAAAAGGAUUAGAUUCGACCAGAGUGAUCAACUCAAGGUCGACAGAAAAUUCAUAAUCAUUAUCGGUCACAAAGAUAGGCGAAGUGGAAAACUUCGGGUCGUAUUUCAUCCUAGCGUUCAGAGAUUUGUCUUUCCACUUGCGUAGUAAAUUCUCAACAUCAUAGCUAUCCUUACAUGCAAGAAAGUCCUCAACUAUCUCUCCCUCCAUAACAUAACGCGUAUCAGGCAUAUCAGGCAAUUCAGGCAUAGGAGAGCUAGUUCUAGCAGGCAAAAUAGCAGGUUCUACUUCAAUAGUAUCAGCAGUUUCAGAAGUAUCAUCACAUCUAGCAACAACUCUAGCAAGUUGUGCAUCAAGGAAUGCACCUAGUGGCAAAGCAGUAUCAAGCAUAGCAUCAUCAGGCAUAGUAUCAAGCAUAGCAUCAUCAUAAGCAUCAUGGGCAGCAGAAGUAGCUUCAUCAAGCACAGGCGACAUAUGAAGAUUUCUAGCAGGAGGUGGUGUCGCAAACUUACUCGUAACUGAAGGUGAAUCAAGUGCAGAGCUAGAUGGCAGUUCCUUACCUGUCCUCGUAGUUGAGGGCAAGACUUUAGUUCUUGGAUCUCUCAGAUUCUUCAUAGUGAUCAACAGACGUAAAUCCCAAGUGACUCAGAGAGUAUAGCUAUGCUUCCCCGGCAACGACGCCAGAAAAUAGUCUUGAUAACCCACAACUGUAGGGGAUCGCAACAGUUUUCGAGGGUAGAGUAUUCAACCCAAAUUUAUUGAUUCGACUCAAGGGGAAGCGAAAGAAUAUUCUCAAGUAUUAGCAGCUGAGUUGUCAAUUCAACCACACCUGAAAGAUUAGUAUCUGCAAGCAAAGUAUCAAUGGCGCCACAAAAAUAUUGCAGCAGGUAACAGCAAAGUAGCAAGUAACAGCAGUAGUGACAGCAGUAGCAACAGAGUAACAGCAGUAGCAACAGAGUAAUAGCAAUAGCCAGGAACAGCAGUAGUGACAGCAAUAGCAAUAGAGUAACAGCAGUAGAGACAGAGUAAUGUAGCAAGGACCAGUAGUAAAAGACUCGUAGGCAUUGGAUCGGUGAUGGAUGAUUAUGCCAGAUGUGAUUGAUCAUGUAACAGCUAUAACACGGAGAGAUAAGUAACUAGCUCCCGUUCGAGAAUCUAAUGUAGGCAUGUAUUCCAUAUGUAGUCAUACGUGCUUAGGGAAAAGAACUUGCAUGACAUCUAUUGUCCAUCCCUCCCGUGGCAGCGGGGUCCUAAUGGAAACUACGGCAUAUUAAGGUUCUCCUUUUAAUAAAGAACCGGAUCAAUGCAUUAACACUUGGUGAAUACAUGAACUCCUCAUACUAUGGUCAUCUCCGGGAGUGGUUCCGGCUAUUGUCACUCCGGGGUUGCAGCGUCAUAACACAUAGUAGGUGACUACAACUUGCAAGAUAGGAUCUAAAAGACACAUAUAUUGGCGACAAAAUAAUAGGUUUAGAUCUGAAAUCAUGGCACUCGGGCCCUAGUGACAAGCAUUAAGCAUGGCAAAGUAGUAGCAACAUCAAUCUCAGAAGAUAGUGGAUACUAGGGAUCAAUCCCCGUCAAAACUAACUCGAUUACAUGAUAGAUCUCAUCGAACUCAUCACCGUCCAGCAAGCCUACGAUGAGAUUACUCACGAACGGUGAAGAGCAUCAUGGAAUUGGCGAUGGAGGAAGGUUGAUGAUGACGAUGGUGACCAUUCCCCUCUCCGGAGCCCAAAACGGACUCCAGAUCUGCCCUCCAGAUGAAGAACAGGAGGUGGCGGUGCCUCCGUAUCGUAAAACGCGAUGAAUCCUUCUCCUUGAUUUUUUUCUGGGCGAAACAUAAUAUAUAGAGCUGAGUUUGGAGGCGGUGGAUCCUCGUGGGCCCCGCAAGCCUGGUUGGUGCGGCCUGGGGAGUGGCCGCGCCCCUUGGGCUUGUGGCCCACUGGCUCACCUCCUCCGGUGGAUCUUUGCGUAGGUAUUUUUUAUUAAUUCCAAAAAACUUCCCGUAAAUUUUCAGGUCAUUCCGAUAUCUUUUAUUUCUGCACAAAAACAACACCAUGGCAACUCUGGUGAAAACAGUGUUAGUCCGGGUUAGUUCCAUUCAAAUCAUGCAAAUUAGAGGCCAAAACAAGGGCAAAAGAGUUCGGAAAAGUAGAUACGACGGAGACGUAUCAGCACAUAAAACGACGCUUCAACCUCAUCCAUGACUACGUCGAAGGAGAGGCGUGAAUAUUUGCAAAGUGCACACGGAUCUGAAUGUAGCAGACCCGCUGACUAAACCUCUUCCACGGGCAAAACAUGAUCAACACCAGAACUGUAUGGGUGUUAGCUUUAUUACAAUGUAAAUCGCAUGGCGAUGUGAGGACUAGAUUUUUGACUCUAGUGCAAGUGGGAGACUGUUGGAAAUAUUCCCUAGAGGCAAUUAUAAAAUGGUUAUUAUUAUAUUUCCUGUUACAUGAUAAUCGUUUAUUAUCCAUGCUAUAAUUGUAUUGAAUGAAAACAUAGAUACGUGUGUGGAUACAUAGACAAAACAAUGUCCCUAGCAAGCCUCUAGUGGCUAGCCAGUUGAUCAAGGAUGGUCAAGGUUUUCUGACUAUGUGUAAGUGUUAUCACUUGAUAACUGGAUCACACCAUUAGGAGAAUCAUGCGAUGGACUAGACCCAAACUAUGAACGUAGCAUAUUGAUCGUGUAAUUUUAUUGCUAUUGUUUUUUGCGUGUCAAGUAUUUAUUCCUAUGACUAUGAGAUCAUAUAACUCACUGGCACUGGAGGAAUACCUUGUGUGUAUCAAACGUCAGAACGUAACUUGGUGACUAUAAAGGUACUCUACAGGUAUCUCUGAAGGUGUCCGUUGAGUAAGUGUAAGUCAUGGGAUCUUGUAUUACAGAACGAGUAAAGAGACUUGAUGGUAACGAGAUUGAAAUAGGCAUACGGAUACCGACGAUCGAAUCUCGGGCAAGUAACAUACCGAAGGACAAAGGGAAUGACAUACGGGAUUAUAUGAAUCCUUGACACUGAGGUUCAACCGAUAAGAUCUUCGGAGAAUGUGUAGGAUCCAAUAUGGGCAUCUAGGUCCCGCUAUUGGAUAUUGACCGAGGAGUACCUCGGGGCAUGUGUACAUAGUUCUUGAACCCGUAGGGUCUGCACACUUAAGGUUCGAUGAUGUUUUAGUAUACUUGAGUUAUAUGUGUCGUUACCGAAUGUUGUUCGGAGUCCCGAAUGAGAUCACGGACGUCACGAGGGUCUCCGGAAUGGUCCGGAAAUGAAGAUUGAUGUAUAGGAUGGCUUCAUUUGGUUACCGGAAGGUUUUCGGGCAUUACCGGGAAUGUACCGGGAGUGACGAAUGGGUUCCGGAAGUUCACCGGGAGGGGGGCAACCCACCCGGGGGAAGCCCAAUGGCCCUAGGGGUGGCGCACCAGCCCUUAGUGGGCUGGUGGGAUAGCCCAAGAGGGCCUUGGUGCCAAGGAAAGAAAAGCAAAGAAAAAUAAAAAAAAAGAGGUGGGAAGAAAGAGAAGGACUCCACUUUCCAAUCCUAAUUGGAGUAAGAUUGGAGUAGGACUCCUCCUCUCCCUUGGCCGGCGCACCCUUGAGGGAUUGGCCCUGAAGGCAAGCCUCUUCCCCCUCCCUCCUAUAUAUAGUGGUGAUAUAGGGAUGAUUUGAGACAACUUUUGCCACGUGCAACUCAACCCUAGACCACAUAGUUCUACCUCUAGAUCGGAUUUCUGCGGAGCUCGGGCGGAGCCCUGCAAGAGUAUAUCGUCACCACCACUGAAGUGUCGUCAUGCUGCGGAGAACUCAUCUACUUCUCCAUCUUGCUUGCUGGAUCAAGAAGGCCGAGAUCAUCAUCGAGCUGUACGUGUGCUGAACGCGGAGGUGCCGUCCGUUCGGCACUAGAUCGGAACGGAUCGCGGGAUGAAUCAUGGGACGGUUCGUGGGACGGUUCAUGGGGCUGAUCGAGGGACGUGAAGACGUUCCACUACAUAAACCGCGUUUCUUAACGCUUCCUAUUGUGCGAUCUACAAGGGUACGUAGAUCCAAAUCUCCUUUCGUAGAUGGACAUCACCAUGAUAGGUCUUCGUGUGCGUAGGAUUUUUUUUCCCAUGCAACGUUCCCCAACAGUGGCAUCAUGAGCUAGGUUCAUGCGUAGAUGUUAUCUCGAGUAGAACACAAAGGGUUUUGUGGAUGGUGAUGUUCGAUUUGCUGCCCUCCUUAGUCUUUUCUCGAUUCGGCGGUAUUGUUGGAUUGAAGCGGCCUGGACCGACAUUAUUCGUACGCUUACGAAAGACUGGUUUCAUCGAUUGACAUGCAACCUCGUUGCAUAAAGAUGACUGGCGGGUGUCGGUUUCUUCAACUUUAGUUGAAUUGGUUUUGACUGAGGCGGUCCUUCGAGAGGUUAAAUAGCAAUUUGCACAUCUCCGUUGUGGUUUUUGCGUAAGUAAGAUGCGAUCAUACUAGAUACCCAUAGCAGCCACGUAAAACAUGCAACAACAAAUUAGACGACGUCUAACUUGUUUUUGCAGGGUAUGCUUGUGAUAUGAUAUGGCCAAUGACGUGAUGUGAUAUAUUGGAUGUAUGAAAUGAUUAUGUUGUAAUAGUUAAUAUCGACUUGCACAUCGAUAGUAGGCAACCGACAGGAGCCAUAGGGUUGUCUUUAAACUAAUGUUUGUGUUUGGAGAUGCGUUUACUAUAUUGCUAGGACGUAGCUUUAGUAGUAAUAGCAUAAGUAGCAUGACAACCCCGAUGGCGACACGUUGAUGGAGAUCAUGGUGUGGCACCGGUGACAAGAAUAUCGUGUCGGUGCUUUGGUGAUGGAGAUCAAGAAGCACAUGAUGAUGGACAUAUCAUGUCACUUAUGAAUUGCAUGUGAUGUUAAUCCUUUUAUGCACCUUAUUUUGCUUAGAACGACGGUAGCAUUAUGAGGAGAUCUCUCACUAAAAUUUCAAGACGAAAUUGUGUUCUCCCCGACUGUGCACUGUUGCUAUAGUUCGUCAUUUCGAGACACCACGUGAUGAUCGGGUGUGAUAGACUCAACGUUCACAUACAACGGGUGCAAAACAGUUGCACACGUGGAACACUCGGGUUAAGCUUGACGAGCCUAGCAUGUGCAGACCUGGCCUCGGAACACAAGAGACCGAAAGGUCGAGCAUGAAUCGUAUAGUUGAUAUGAUUAGCAUAGCGAUGCUUACCACUGAAACUAUUCUCAACUCACGUGAUGAUCGGACUUGAGUUAGUGGAUUUGGAUCAUGUACCACUCAAAUGACUAGAGAGAUGUACUUUUUGAGUGGGAUUUCUUAAGUAAUAUGAUUAAUUGAACUAAUUAUCAUGAACAUAGUCUAAUGGUCUUUGCGAAUUACGAUAUAGCUUGCGCUAUAGCUCUACUAUUUUUAUAUUUUCCUAGAGAAAAUUUAGUUGAAAGUUGACAGUAGCAACUUUGCGGACUGAGUCCGUAAAACUGAGGAUUGUCCUCAUUGCUGCACAGAAGGCUUAUGUCCUUAAUGCACUACUCGGUGUGCUGCACCCCAAGCGUCGUCUGUGGAUGUUGCGAACAUCUGACAUACACGUUUUUGAUGACUACGUGAUAGUUCAGUGCAUAAUACUUAAUAGCUUAGAAGCAAGGCGCCGAAGACGUUUUGAAACGUCACGGAACAUAUGAGAUGUUCUAAGAGAUGAAAUUGAGAUUUCAUGCUCAUGCCCUUGUUGAGAGCUAUGAGACCUCCGACAAGAUUCUUUGUCUACAAAGUAAAGGAGAAAAGCUCAAAUUGUUGAGCGUGUUCUCAGAUUGUCUGAGUACAAUAAUCUCUUGAAUCAAGUGGGAGUUAAUUUUCCAAAUGAGAUAGUGAUGGUUCUCCAAAGUCACUGCCACUAAGCUGCUAGAGCUUCGUGAUGUACUAUAACAUAUCAAGGAUAGAUAUGAUGACCCUUGAAUGAUUCGCAAUGUUUAACACUGCGAAAGUAGAAAUCAAGAAGGAGCAUCAAUUGUUGAUGGUUAGUAAAACCACUAGUUUCAAGAAGGGCAAGGGCUACAAGGAAUACUUCAUGAAACGGCAAACCAGUUGCUGCUCUAAUGAAGAAACCCAAGAUUGAACCCAAACCUGAGACUAAGUACUUCUGUUAUGAGGGGAACGGUCACUGAGGCAGAGCUACCCUAGAUACAUGGUAGAUAAGAAGGCUCGCAAAGUCGACAAAUGUAUAUUUGAUAUACAUGAUAUUGAUGUGUACUUUACUAGUACUCCUAGUAGCACGAGGGUAUUAGAUACCGGUUCAAUUGCUAAGUGAUUAGUAAGUCGAAAUGAUAGCUAUGGAAUAAACGGAGACUAGCUAAAGGCGAGGUGACGAUAAGUGUUGGAAGUGUUUCCAAGGUUGAUGUGAUCAAACAUCGCACGCUCCCUCUACCAUCGGGAUUGGUGUUAAACCUAAAUAAUUGUUAUUGGGUGUUUGCGUUGAGCAUGAACAUGAUUGGAUCGUGUUUAUUGCAAUACGAUUAUUCAUUUAAAGAGAAUAAUGGUUAUUCUAUUUGCGUGAAUAAUUACCUUCAAUGGUUUAUUGAAUCUCGAUCGUAGUGUUACACAUGUUCAUUAUAUUGAUGCCAAAAGAUACAAAGUAGUAAUGAUAGUACCACUUACUUGUGGCACUGUCGCUUGACUCAUGACGGUAUAAAAUGCAUGAAGAAGCUCCAUGUUGAUGGAUCUUUUUACUCACUGAUACGUCUCCAACGUAUCUAUAAUUUUUGGUGGUUACAUGCUAUUAUCUUGUCAAACUUUGGAUGUUUUGUAUGCCUUUUAUAUCUAUUUUGGGACUAACUUAUUAACUCAGUGCCAAGUGUCAGUUCAUGUUUUUUUCGUGUUUUUGACCCUUUUCAGAGGAGAAUAUUAAACGGAGUCCAAACGGAAUAAAACUUCUGAAAAGAUUUUUUCUAGAAUAGAAGAUACGCAGGGGGCGUGAGAACCAAGGCAGAGGCCACCACGGGAGGCCACAAGCCCCUAGGCGUGGCCAGGGGGCACGCGCCUAGAAGGCUUGUGGGCCCCUUGUGGCUCGUCUACCCUACUUCUUCCGCCUAUAAAUCUUCGAAAAAUCCAAAACCACGGGAGGGAUCCACGAAAAUAAUUUUCCGCCGCUGCAAGCUUCUGUCUCCGCAAGAUCCCAUCUGGGGCACGUUCUGGUACCCUUCCGGAGGGGGGAUUCAGAUAUGGAGGGCUUCUUCAUCAACACCAUUGCCUCUUCGAUGAUGCGUGAGUAGUUCACCAUAGACCUUCGGGUCCAUAGCUAGUAGCUAGAUGGCUUGUUCUCUCUCUUGGAUCUUCAAUAAAAAGUUCUCCAUGAUCUUCAUGGAGAUCUAUCCGAUGUAAUCUUCUUUUGUGGUGUGUUUGUCGAGAUCCGAUGAAUUGUGGAUUUAUGAUCAGAUUAUCUAUGAAUCUUAUUUGAGUUUCUUCUGAUCUCUUAUAUGCAUGAUUUCAUAUCCUUGUAAUUCUCUUCGAGUUGUGGGUUUUGUUUGGCCAACUUGAUCUAUGAUUCUUGCAAUGGGAGAAGUGCUUGGUUUUGGGUUCAUAUCAUGCGGUGACCUCACCCAGUGACAGAAGGGGUAGAGAGGCACGCAUCGUGUUGUUUCCAUCAAGGGUAAAAAGAUGGGGUUUAUAUCUAUUGCAUGAAUUUAUCCCUCUACAUCAUGUCAUCUUGCUUAAGGCAUUACUCUGUUCGUCAUGAACUCAAUACACUAGAUGCAUGUUGGAUAGUGGUCGAUGUGUGGAGUAAUAGUAGUAGAUGCAGACAGUAUCGGUCUACUUGUCUCGGACAUGAUGCCUAUAUGUAUGAUCAUUGCCUUAGAUAUCGUCAUGACUUUGCGCGGUUCUAUCAAUUGCUCGACAGUAAUUCGUUCACCCACCGUAAUAUUUGCUAUUUUGAGAAAAGCCUCUAGUGAACACUAUGGCCCCGGGGUCUACUUCACAUCAUAUUUUCAGCCAUACACUUUUGCUUCGUUGCACUUUCCACCUUCAGAUCUCACUUUGUAAUCAAUCUUGAAGGGAUUGACAACCCCUUUAUAGCAUUGGGUGCAAGCUCGUUUGUGUAUGCGCAGGUACUCUGGACACUUGACUUUAUUCUCCUACUGGAUUGAUACCUUGGUUCUCAAACUGAGGGAAAUACUUACUGCUACUGUGUUGCAUCACCCUUUCCUCUUCAAGGGAAAAACCAACGCAAGCUCAAGAGGUAGCAAGAACAAUUUCUGGCGCCGUUGCCGGGGAGGAUCAAGUCAAGAAUAGUCUCCCAUCAACGUGUCAAUCUCUGGCGCCAGGGAUUAUUCUAAGUGAAGCUUAUCCAAGUAAGUGUCGCAAACUCAUCUCUUGCAUUUACUUUUUUGCCUCUCGUUUUCCUCUCCCCCACUUGUGAAAAAAAAUAUUUACAAAAAUAUUUGCCUUUUCACUCGCCCUUUCUUUCGCUUGCCUUCUGUUCGCUUGUAUGCUAUGUGCCUUGAAUAUGCUUGCAUCUUCGCUUGCUAAAAAUCUAUUGAUAUGGAUCCUCAUCCACUUGCUAAUCUCUUUAAGAGAUCCAAUUAUGUUGAUCCAAUUGCUAGUGAGUUGAGUGCACUUGACUUUCUCUAUGGAGUUUUGCUUGAGAUGCAUGAAUCUUAAAAUCGUGAUGAAGAAAUUUAUGAAGUGAGUCACGAGGUCUCCUUGAAUGAAAAGCAUGAUUGCAAUGGUUUCACUAUGAAUUAUAUUAGUGACAAUCAUGCUAAAUAUAUGCAAAACCCUAAGCUUGGGGAUGCUAGUUUUGCUUUGUCCUCUACUUGUUGCAAUGAUCAUGAUUGGGGUAAUGAUUUUUCUUGUGAUCUUGAAAAUUUGUUUAAGCCUCAUGAUGAAUAUGAUAUUUGCAAUAAUAUUGAAAGUGGGAUUGGAGAAGUCAUGACUUUAGUUGAUGAUAAUCCCACUAUUUUUGAUGAGCGUCAACUUUGCAUGCAUGUGGAUCAUGAAAAGAAUAUCCUUUGUGAUAGCUAUAUUGUUGAAUUUGAUUAUGAUCCCACAUGUAAUUGCUAUGAGAGAGGAAAAUAUUGUGGUAGAAUCUUUCAUGUUACGAAUUCACCUCUCGUUAUGUUGAGAUUGAUAUUGUCUCUUUCUUCUUCCUUGCAUAUGGUAACUAUUGGUUGUCUUGACAAUCUAUUUUCCGAUAAAAUGCCUAUGCAUAGGAAGUAUGUUAGACUUAGAUGUGAUUUUCACAUGCUUUAUGAUGCUCUCGUUGUGCUUCAAUUCUUGUCUUUUGUGUGAGCAUCAUUGAAUUAUCAAUGCCUAGCUAAGGGCGUUAAACAAUAGCGCUUGGUGGGAGGCAACCCAAUGAAUUUAUCUUUUCUUUUUGCUUUCUGUUUUGUUGCAUCCACACCAUCAUAAUUCUGUUAUGUUUGUGUAUUUUGUGUUUCUUUUUGUGUUUGAGCCAAGUAAAACCUUUAUGACUAGUUUGGUGAUGGUUGUUUGAUCCUGCUGGAAAAAGACAGAAACUUUUCGCUCACGAAAUUAUUUUUCAUUUUUAUCCAGAAAGAGCUUUUGAGUUGAUUCUUUUUUCUGCUCGUUGAUAUGCCAAUUUCCCAAACUGUCGUAAUUGUUCAAAAAAAUUCAGAUAGCAGAAGUAUACAGAUUGCUACAGACUGGCCUGUUUUUGACACAUUCUGUUUUUGUUGUGUUGGUUGCUUAUUUUGAUGAAACUAUGGAUAGUAUCGGGGGGUAUUAGCCAUGGAAAAGUUAGAAUACAGUAAUCUAACACCAAUAUAAAUAGAAAUCAAGUUUGCUACAGUACCUAAAUAGGUGGUAGUUUGUUUUCUUGUGCUAAUGAUAUCACGAGUUUCCGUUUAAGUUUUGUGUUGUGAAGUUUUCAAGUUUUGAGUGAUGUUCUCAUGGACAAAUGGAUAAAGAGUGGAAAGUGCUCAAGCUUGGGGAUGCCCAAGGCAUCCCAAGCCAAAUUCAAGGACACCAAAAAGCCUAAGCUUGGGGAUGCCCCUGGAAAGCAUCCCCUCUUUCGUCUUCAAUCCAUCGGUAACAUUACUUGGAGCUAUAUUUUUAUUCACCACAUGAUAUGUGUUUUGCUUGGAGCGUCUUGUAUCUUAGGAGUCUUUUCUUUUUGUUGUGUCACAAUCAUCUUUGAAGCACACCUUUUGAGAUAGACAUGCACUCAUCGUAAAUUUGCUAGAAUACUCUUUGAGCUUCGCUUAUAUCUUUUGAGUUAGGCAAUUUAGCUCACAUGUGCUUCACUUAUAUCUUUUGAGCUAGAUGACUUUGCUCUAAGUGCUUAACUUAGAUCUUUUAGAGCACGGUGGUGUUAUAUUUUGGAGAAAUAAGAACUCUCGAUCUUCACUUAUAUCUUUUUGAGAGUGAUCUAUCUGAGUAACUUGGUAGUUGGCUUGUGCUAUGAAAGUAGUCCCAAAGGUGAUAGGUACCCAAAGAGGAUACCAUAAAACUUCCAUCUUCAUGUGCAUUGAUUAGAAAGAGAAGUUUGAUUCCUCUUAAAUAUUUUGAGACAUGGAUUUGGUAAUAUUAAGAGUUAUGUUAGUAGGGUGUUGUGAAUCUAGAAAUACUUGUGUUGAAGUUAGUGAUUCCCGUAACAUGCACGUAUGGUGAACCACUAUGUUAGGAAGUCGGAGCAUAAUUGAUCUAUUGAUUUUCAUCCUUUGUGUUGCGGUCGGGAUCACGCGAUGAUUAACACCUACCAACCCUUCCCCUAGGAGUAUGAGUUUAGCACUUUGUUUCAAUUAAUAAAAAAAAAUUUGCAAUAAGUAUGUGAGUUCUUCAUGACUAAUGUGAGUCCAUGGUAUAGAUGCACUUUCACCUUUCACCAUUGCUAGCCUCUCUAGUGUCGCGCAACUUUCGCCGGUGGACAAACCCACCAUAUGCCUUCCUCAAAACAGCCACCAUACCUACCUACUAUGGCAUUUUCAUAGCCAUUCCGAGAUAUAUUGCCAUGCAACUCCCACCGUUCCGUCUCAAGACUUGUGCCGUCACUUUCAUAUUUCCAUUGCAUGAUCAUAAGAUAGCUAGCGAGAUGCUUCAACGUCGUACGCCAAUCUAGAUCGUUGCACAUCCCGGUACACUGCCGGAGGCAUUUCCUACAAAGUCAUCAUUGUCCUAAGCAUUGAGCUGUGAGUAAACAAAAGUGUGAUGAUCAUCAUUAUUAGAGCAUUGUCCCAUGUGAGGAAAUAAAAAAAUAGGCCAAAGUUGCCCACACAAAAAAAAGGAGAGAGAGAUAUGGAAAGAGGCCAAAGUGCCCAAACAAAAAAAGAGAGAAAAAGAGAGAAGGGACAAUGCUACUAUCUUUUCCACACUUGUGCUUGAUAAUAGCACCAUGUUCUUCAUGAUUGAGAGUCUCUUGUUUCGUCACCACCAUAUGCUAGUGGGAAUCUUCAUUAUAUAACUUGGCUUGUAUAUUCCAAUGAUGGGCUUCCUCAAAAUUGCCCUAGGUCUUCCUGAGCAAGCAAGUUGGAUGCACACCCACUAGUUCUCCUUUUGAGCUUUCACAUACUUGUAGCUCUAAGUGCAUCCAUUGCAUGGUAAUCCCUACUAUUUCACAUUGAUAUCUAUUAAUGGGCAUCUCCAUAGCCCUUUGAUAUGUCGAGUCGAUGUGACCAUCUCCUCCUUUUUGUCUCACAAUCUCCACCACACUCUAUUCCACUUAUAUUGCUAUAUCCAUGGCUCACGCUCAUGUAUUGCAUGAGAGUUGAAAAAAGGUUUGAGAAAGUAAGAGUGCGAAAACAAUUACUUGGCCAAUACCGGGGUUGUGCAUGAUUUAAAUUAGUUGUGUGGGGAUGAUGGAGCAUAGCCAGACUAUAUGAUUUUGUAGGGAUAAUUUUAUUUGGCCUUGUUAUUUCAAAAGUUCACGAUUACCUUGCUAGUUUGCUUGAAGUAUUAUUGUUUUCAUGUCAAUAGUAAACUAUUGUUUUGAAUCUUACGGAUCUGAACAUUCAUGUCACAUGAAAGAGGUUACAGAGGACAAAUAUGCUAGGUUGCAUUCCACAUCAAAAAUUAUGUCUUUAUCACUUCCCUACUCGAGGACGAGCAGGAGUUAAGCUUGGGGAUGCUUGAUACAUCUCCAACGUAUCUAUAAUUUUUGGUGGUUCCAUGCUAUUAUCUUGUCAAACUUUGGAUGUUUUGUAUGCCUUUUAUAUCUUUUUUGGGAAUAACUUAUUAACUCAGUGCCAAGUGCCAGUUCCUGUUUUUGACCCUUUUCAGAGGAGAAUAUUAAACAGAGUCCAAACGGAAUAAAACUUCCGAAAAGAUUUUUUUUCGGAACAGAAGAUACGCAGGGGGCGUGAGAACCAAGGCAGAGGCCACCAAGGGAGGCCACAAUCCCCCUAGGCGCGGCCAGGGGGCUCGCGCCUAGCGGGCUCGUGGGCCCUGUGUGGCUCGUCUGCCCUACUUAUUCCGCCCAUAAAUCUCCGAAAAAUCCAAAACCAUGGGAGAGAUCCACGAAAAUACUUUUCCGCCGCCGCAAGCUUCUGUCUCCGCAAGAUCCCAUCUGGGGCACGUUCUGGUGCCGUGCCGAAGGGGGAUUCGAAUACGGAGGGCUUCUUCAUCAACACCAUUGCCUCUCCGAUGAUGCGUGAGUAGUUCACCAUAGAUAUUCAGGUCCAUAGCUAGUAGCUAGAUGGCUUCUUCUCUCUCUCUUGGAUCUUCAAUACAAAGUUCUCCAUGAUCUUCAUGGAGAUCUAUCCGAUGUAAUCUUCUUUUGUGGUGUGUUUGUCGAGAUCCAAUGAAUUGUGUAUUUAUGAUCAGAUUAUCUAUGAAUCUUAUUUGAGUUUCUUUUGAUCUCUUAUAUGCAUGAUUUCAUAUCCUUGUAAUUCUCUUCGAGUUGUGGGUUUUGUUUGGCCAACUUGAUCUAUGAUUCUUGCAAUGGGAGAAGUGCUUGGUUUUGGGUUCAUACCAUGCGGUGACCUCACCCAGUGACAGAAGGGGUAGCGAGGCACGCAUCAUGUUGUUGCCAUCAAUGGUAAAAAUAUGGGGUUUAUAUCUAUUGCAUGAAUUUAUCCCUCUACAUCAUGUCAUCUUGCUUAAGGCGUUACUCUGUUCGUCAUGAACUCAAUACACUAGAUGCAUGCUAGAUAGCGGUCGAUGUGUGGAGUAAUAGUAGUAGAUGUAGACAGUGUCGGUCUACUUGUCUCGGACGUGAUGCAUAUAUGUAUGAUCAUUGCCUUAGAUAUCAUCAUGACUUUGCGCGGUUCUAUCAAUUGCUCGACAGUAAUUCGUUCACCCACCGUAAUAUUUGAUAUUUUGAGAAAAGUCUCUAGUGAACACUAUGGCCCCUGGGUCUACUUCACAUCAUAUUUUCAGCCUUACACUUUUACUUCGUUGCACUUUCCACCUUCAGAUCUCACUUUGCAAUCAAUCUUGAAGGGAUUGACAACCCCUUUAUAGCAUUGGGUGCAAGCUCGUUUGUGUUUGCGCAGGUACUCUGGACACUUGGCUUGAUUCUCCUACUGGAUUGAUACCUUGGUUCUCAAACUGAGGGGAAUACUUACUGCUACUAUGCUGUGUCACCCUUUCCUCUUCAAGGGAAAAACCAACGCAAGCUCAAGAAGUAGCACUCACUCAUUUUUGAAACGUUUGAGGCAUGCAAACCAUACUUAUUGGUAUUAACGCAUGAAGAAAUUCCAUGCAGAUGGAUCAUUUGGACUCACUUGAUUUUGAAUCACUUGAGACAUGCAAAUCAUACCACAUGGAACAAGGCACGCAGUGGAUAUCAUUAUGUUCUUACUUCACUGACGAUUUGAGUAUAUACAGGAGUAUUUACUUGAUGAAUCACAAGUCUGAAAUGUUGAAAAGUUCAAAGCUAUUUGAGAGUGAAGAUCGUCAUGACAAGAGGAUAAAUUGUCUAUGAUAUGAUCAUAGAGAUGAAUAUCUGAGUUGCGAGUUUUUGGUACACAGUUAAGACAAUGUGGAAAUUGUUUCGCAAUUCAUGCCACCAAGAGCACCAUAAUGUGAUGGUGUGUCUAAACCUCAUAGCAACGCCCUAUUUGAUAUGGUGCAUACUAUGAUGUCUCUUAUCAAAUUACCACUAUCGUUUAUGGGUUAUGCAUUAGAGACAACCGCAUUCACUUUAAAUAGGCACCGCGUAUUUCCGUUGAGAUGACACAGUAUGAACUAUGGUUUGGAGAAACCUAAGUUGUCAUUUUUGAAAGUUUCAAUCUGAUAAGCUCGAACCCAAAGCGGAUAAGCUCGAACCCAAAGCGGAUAAGUUGUCAGUUCUACACACUGGUUGCGACGCUUAUGUGAAAAAGUUUCAGUCUGAUAAGCUCGAACCCAAAGCGGAUAAAUGCAUCUUCAUAGGAUAUCCAAAACAGUUGGAUACAUCUCCUAUCUCAGAUCCGGAAACAAAGUGUUCAUUUCUAGAAACGGGUCCUCUCUCAAGGAAAGGUUUCUCUCGGAAGAAUUGAGUGGUAGGGUUGUGGAACUUGAUGAGGUUAGUGAACCAUCACUUCAACCAGUGUGUAGCAUGGCGCAGGAAGAUGUUCAUGUGGCGCCUACACUAAUUGAAGUGGAAGCUGAUGAUGGUGAUCAUUAGAGCUUUGGAUCAAGUUACUACAAACCUCGUAGGUCGACAAGGUCGCGUACUACUACAGAGUGGUAUGGUAACCCUGUCUUGGAGGUCAUGUUGUUGAACAACAAUGAACCUACGAGUUAUGGAGAAGCGAUGGUGGGCCCAGAUUCCGACAAAUGGCUAGAACCAUGAAAUCCGAGAGAGGAUCCAUGUAUGAAGACAAAGUGUAGACUUUGGAAGAACUACUUGAUGGUAGUAAGACUAUUAAGUAAAGAUGGAUCUUUAAAAAGAAGACAAACGAUGAUGGUGACUAUUCACCAUUAAGAAAAGCUUGACUUAUCUUAAAGAUGUUUCCGACAAGUUCAAAGAGUUGACUAUGAUGAGACUUUCUCACUCGUAGCGAUGCUAAAAGUGUUUUGGGAUUAUGUUAGCAGUUGUUGCAUUAUUUAUGAAAUAUUGCACAUAGGAUGUCAAAACAUUGUUUCCUCGACGAUUUCCUUGAGGAAAGGUUGUAUGUGAUACAACGAGAAGGUUUUGUCGAUCCUAAAUAUGCUAACAAGUAUGCAAGCUCCAGCGAUCCUUUCAUGGACUGGUGCAAGCAUCUCGGAGUUGGAAUAUACGCUUUGAUGAGAUGAUCAAAGCUUUUGGGUUUGUACAAAGUUUAUGAGAAACUUGUAUUUCCAAAGAAGUGAGUGGGAGCACUAUAGAAUUUCUGAUAAGUAUAUGUGGUUGACAUAUUGGUGAUCGAAAGUAAUGUAGAAUUUCUGUAAAGCAUAAAGGUUGUUUUAAAGGGGUUUUUCAAAGGAAGACCUGGAUAGAGCUACUUGAACAUUGAGCAUCAAGAUCUAUGGAGAUAGAUCAAAAUUCUAAACAGAACUUUCAAAUGAAAUGCAUUCCUUGAUAAGUUUUUGAAGGAGGUCAAAAUAGAUCAGCAAAGAAGGAGUUCUUGGCUGUGUUGUAAGGUGUGAAUUUGAGUGAGACUCAAAAGCCCGACCACGGCAGAAGAAAGAGAAAGGAUGAAGGUCGUCCCCUAUGCCUUAGCCAUAGACUCUACAGUAUGACAUGUUGUGUAUCGCACGUGAUGUGUGCCUUGCCACAAGUCUGUUAAGAGGUACAUAGAGUGAUACAGGAUUGAAUCACUGAAUAGCGGUCAAAGUUAUCCUUAGUAACUAAUGGACUAAGGAAUUUUUCUCAAUUAUGGAGGUGGUCAAAGAGUUCUCCGUAAAGGGUUAUGUCGAUGCAAGCUUUGACACUAAUCCAAAUAACUAUGAGUAGUAAAACAGAUUCGUAUAGUAGAGUAGAUAUUUGGAGUAUUUCCGAAUAGCACGUAGCAGCGGCAUCUACAAGAUGACAUAAAGAUUUGUAAAGCACACACGGAUCUGAAAGAUUCAGAACCAUUGACUAAAACCUCUCUCACGAGCAAGACGUGAUCAAACCCCAGAACUAUAUGGGUGUUGGAUUCGUUGAAAUUACAUGGUGAUGUGAACUAGAUUAUUGACUCUAGUGCAAGUGGGAGACUGUUGGAAAUAUGCCCUAGAGGCAAUAACAAAUUAGUUAUUAUUAUAUUUCUUUGUUCGUGAUAAUCGUUUAUUAUCCAUGCUAUAAUUGUAUUGAUUGGAAACUCAAAUACAUGUGAGGAUACAUAGAUAAAACAUUGUCCCUAGUAAGCCUAUAGUUGACUAGCUCGUUCAUCAAAGAUGGUCAAGGUUUCCUAACCAUAGAUAAGAGUUGUCACUUGAUAACGGGAUCACAUCAUUAGGAGAAUCAUGUGAUGGAGAAGACCCAAACUAUGAGCGUAGCAUAUUGAUCGUGUCAUUUUAUUGCUAUUGUUUUCUGCGUAUCAAGUAUUUGUUCCUAUGACCAAGAGAUCAUAUAACUUACUGGCACCGCAGGAAUACCUUGUGGAAUCAAAUGUCACAACGUAACUGGGUGAAUAUAAAGGUGCUCUACAGGUAUCUCCGAAGGUGUCCUUGAGUUAGUAUGUGUCAAGACUGGGACUUGUCACUCCGUGUGACGGAGAGGUAUCUCGGGGCCCACUCGGUAAUACAACAUCACACACAAGCCUUGCAAGCAAUGUGACUAAGUGUAAGUCAUGGGAUCUUGUAUUACAGAACGAGUAAAGAUACUUGCCGAUAACGAGAUUGAAAUAGGUAUACGAAUACCGAUGAUCGAAUCUCGGGAAAGUAACAUACCGAAGGACAAACGGAAUGACAUACGGGAUUAUAUGAAUCCUUGACACUGAGGUUCAACCGAUAAGAUCUUCGGAGAAUAUGUAGGAUCCAAUAUGGGCAUCCAGGUCCCGCUAUUGGAUAUUGACCGAGGAGUACCUCGGGGCAUGUCUAUAUAGUUCUCGAACCCGCAGGGUCUAUACACUUAAGGUUCGAUGAUGUUUUAGUAUAGUUGAGUUAUAUGUGUGGUUACCGAAUGUUGUUCGGAGUCCGGGAUGAGAUCACGAAUGUCACGAGGGUUUCUGGAAUGGUCCGGAAACGAAGAUUGGUAUAUAGGAUGGCUUCAUUUGGUUACCGGAAGCUUUUCGGGCAUUAUCGGGAAUGUAUCGGGAGUGACGAAUGAGUUCCGGAAGGUCACCGGGAGGGGGGCAACCCACCCGGGGGAAGCCCAAUGGCCCUAGGGGUGGUGCACCAGCCCUUAGUGGGCUGAUGAGACAGCCCAAGAGGGCCUUGGCGCCAAGUAAAGAAACUCAAAGAAAAACAAAAAAAGAGAGGGGGGAGGAAGAGAAGGACUCCACUUUCCAAUCCUAAUUGGAGUAGGAUUGGAGUAGGACUCCUCCUCUCCCUUGGCCGACGCACCCUUGAGGGCUUGGCCCUCAAGGCAAGCCUCCUCCCCCUCCCUGCUAUAUAUAGUGGUGAUUUAGGGCUGAUUUGAGACAAAUUUUGCCACGUGCAACUCAACCCUAGACCACAUAGUUCUACCUCUAGAUCGGAUUUCUGCAGAGCUCGGCCGGAGCCCUGUAGGAGUAGAUCAUCACCACCACUGGUGCGCCGUCACGCUGCUAGAGAACUCAUCUACUUCUCCAUCUUGCUUGCUGGAUCAAGAAGGCCAAGAUCAUCGUCGAGCUAUACGUGUGCUGAACGCGGAGGUGCCGUUUGUUCGGCACUAGAUCGGAACGGAUCGCGGGACGGAUCGCAGGACCGUUCGUGGGACAGUUCAUGGGGAUGAUCGAGGGAUGUGAAUACGUUCCAAUACAUCAACCGUGUUUCUUAAUGCUUCCUCUUGUGCGAUCUACAAGGGUACAUAGAUCCAAAUCUCCUUUCGUAGAUGGACAUCACCAUGAUAGGUCUUCGUGUGCGUAGGAUUUUUUCCCAUGCAACGUUCCCCAACAGAUUUACCCCUCAACUACGAGGACGGGUAAGGAACUUCCAUCUAGCUCUGCACUUGAUUCACCGUCUGUUAUGAGUAAAUUUGCGACACCGUGAUACGUCUCCAACGUAUCUAUAAUUUUUUAUGGUUCCAUGCUAUUAUUUUGUCAAACUUUGGAUGUUUUGUAUGCCUUUUAUAUCUUUUUUGGGACUAACUUAUUAACUCAGUGCCAAGUGCGAGUUCCUGUUUUUUCGUGUUUUUGACCCUUUUCAUAGGAGAAUUUUAAACGGUGUACAAACGGAAUAAAACUUCCGAAUAGAUUUUUUUCGGAACAGAAGAUACGCAGGGGACGUGAGAACCAAGGCAAAGGCCACCAGGGGAGGCCACAAGCCCCCUAGGCCAGGGGCGCGUGCCUAGAAGGCUUGUGGGCCCCAUGUGGCUCGUCUGCCCUACCUCUUCUGCCCAUAAAUUCCCGAAAAAUCCAAAACUGCGAGAGAGAUCCCCGAAAAUACUUUUCCGCCGCCGCAAGCUUCUGUCUCCGCAAGAUCCCAUCUAGGGCACGUUCUGGUGCCCUGCCGGAGGGGGAAUUCAGAUACGGAGGGCUUCUUCAUCAACACCAUGGCCUCUCCGAUGAUCCGUGAGUAGUUCACAAUAGACCUUCGGGUCCAUAGCUAGUAGCUAGAUGGCUUCUUCUCUCUCUUGGAUCUUCAAUAAAGUUCUCCAUGAUCUUCAUGGAGAUCUAUCCGAUGUAAUAUUCUUUUGCGGUGUGUUUGUCGAGAUCUGCUGAAUUGUGGAUUUAUGAUCAGAUUAUCUAUGAAUCUUAUUUGAGUUUUUUCUGAUCUCUUAUAUGCAUGAUUUCAUAUAUCUUAAUUCUCUUCGAGUUGUGGGUUUUGUUUGUCCAACUUGAUCUAUGAUUCUUGCAAUGGGAGAAGUGCUUGGUUUUGGGUUCAUACCAUGCGGUGACCUCACCCAAUGAUAGAAGGGUAGCGAGGCAUGCAUCGUGUUGUUGCCAUCAAGGGUAAAAAGAUGGGGUUUACAUCAUUGGUUUGAGUUUAUCCCUCUACAUCAUGUCAUCAUGAACUCAAUACACUAGAUGCAUGCUGGAUAGCGGUCAAUGUGUGGAGUAAUAGUAGUAGAUGCAGAAAGUAUCAGUCUACUUGUCUCGGAUGCGAUGCCUAUAUGUAUGAUCAUUGCCUUAGAUAUCGUCAUGACUUUGCGCGGUUCUAUCAAUUGCUCGACAGUAAUUUGUUCACCCACCGUAAUACUUGCUUUUUUGAGAGAAGCCUCUAGUGAACACUAUGGCCCCCGGGUCUACUUCACAUCAUAAUUUCAGCCUUACACUUUGUCACGCCCAAGAUGCGACCCUAUCCUCAAUUUGGCACGAAGGCCUCGUCAGGGAUUGAAGCGCAUCUCGUCGUGUCGCAAGAAUAGAUAUCAUUACAAGUACAUGUACUGAAAAGAAGAGAUAUAUAUAUGGAAUUGGCUUACACUUGCCACAAGCUACAUCAGAGUCACAUCAGUACAUUACAUAAUCAUCAAGAGUAAGAGCAGGGUCCGACUACGGACGAAAACAAAUGAGAAAAAGAAGAACGACGUCCAUCCUUGCUAUCCCAGGCUGCCGGCCUGGAACCCAUCCUAGAUCGAUGAAGAAGAAGAAGAAGAAGCAACUCCAAAAUGAACAAUCAACGCGCUCGCGUCAAGUAACCUUUACCUGUACCUGCAACUAGUGUUGUAGUAAUCUGUGAGCCACAGGGGACUCAGCAAUCUCACUUCCAAAGGUAUCAAGACUAGCUAUCGUGGGUAUAAGCCUGACAGUAGAUGUGUAGGGUACGAAAAGGAUGGGCAGAGUCCUAGCUACGGCGAGAGUGUAUGAGUUCAGGCCCCUCUACGAUGGAGGUAAUAGCCCUANGGACUAUAACCCCAUCAUUAGUCCCUGAAUGGAUUGGGGUUGGAACGACGAGGCAAUGCUUGAAGUUUGAAUCCGACCGGAACGGAUUUGGCUUGGGCGUUGCUUGCCUCGAUCCAUUUUAUCUUUUCUGAUCAACGACCCGAGUGGAAAUUUCCGUGGAACAAACUGUCGGAUACCGAGUGUUUUCGGGGUAUCUCUUGCCGCGACCCGUCAACUGACAGCGGCGGAUUUUCCGGGAUCUUCAAAUUUCGGUUUCCGCGCGCCCAGCGGGGAUGACGCUGGCGCGCUCGAGUAGCGCCUGACGCCUCGAUUCUCGCGCCUUCAACUCCUCGACUGAUAUCGCCGCGGCCGGUCGGGGGAUAAGGUUUCGGGUCCACUUGCCAGCGACCCAGUCGGAGCCUUACUUAAAUCCCGGCGGCAAGGGUUUUUCGUUACGCCCGCCGGAUCUCUCGCCAUUGUUUCGUCCUCCUCGCCUCUUCCAGCGCGCCUGCCCUCUCCACUCCUCCUCCCUCCCCGCGAACUCGCAACUUCCGCCAUGACCAAGGGUCAGACUAGCAAGAUGGAGGCGAGGAAGAAGAAGGGGNNNNNNNNNNNNNNNNNNNNNNNNNNNNNNNNNNNNNNNNNNNNNNNNNNNNNNNNNNNNNNNNNNNNNNNNNNNNNNNNNNNNNNNNNNNNNNNNNNNNNNNNNNNNNNNNNNNNNNNNNNNNNNNNNNNNNNNNNNNNNNNNNNNNNNNNNNNNNNNNNNNNNNNNNNNNNNNNNNNNNNNNNNNNNNNNNNNNNNNNNNNNNNNNNNNNNNNNNNNNNNNNNNNNNNNNNNNNNNNNNNNNNNNNNNNNNNNNNNNNNNNNNNNNNNNNNNNNNNNNNNNNNNNNNNNNNNNNNNNNNNNNNCGAGGAAGAAGAAGGGGAAGGCGGCGGCAGCGACCGUUGUCGGCGGGGUGGAUUCAAGGCGACUUCCUCCCCUCCACGGUGACGGAGGGGGAUCUGCUGCAGCUGGUGGAGGACAGGAUGAUCGUCCACAAGUCUUGGAGGCUGCCGGCGGAGAACGAGGUCGAGUCGGCGCCCCGGGAGGGGGAGCGCGUCUUGCUGCUCAGCCAUGUCUACCAAGGUUUCUCCCUACCCCCGCAUCCUUUCUUUAAGGGCAUCAUGAAUCACUUUGGGGCACAGCUUCACCACUUCCCUCCAAAUGCCAUCGCCCAUCUCUCCGCUUUCAUCGUUAUGUGCGAGUGCUUCAUAGGCUACCCCCCCCCCCCUNNNNNNNNNNNNNNNNNNNNNNNNNNNNNNNNNNNNNNNNNNNNNNNNNNNNNNNNNNNNNNNNNNNNNNNNNNNNNNNNNNNNNNNNNNNNNNNNNNNNNNNNNNNNNNNNNNNNNNNNNNNNNNNNNNNNNNNNNNNNNNNNNNNNNNNNNNNNNNNNNNNNNNNNNNNNNNNNNNNNNNNNNNNNNNNNNNNNNNNNNNNNNNNNNNNNNNNNNNNNNNNNNNNNNNNNNNNNNNNNNNNNNNNNNNNNNNNNNNNNNNNNNNNNNNNNNNNNNNNNNNNNNNNNNNNNNNNNNNNNCCCCCCCCCCCCAUUGGGGGUUGUUCAAACACAUAUUCUCUGCUAAAUCUCAGACUAUCAAACGACUCAGCCAGUCGGAUGAUAAAACGCAUCUUCUCCAACUCUGCAGAGGCUUAGGUUUCCAGAAAAAGAGUCGGAGUAGUUAUCCUGCUCUCCAGCUGAGUGAGUCGGUCAGGAACUGGCAGUCGACGUGGUUCUAUUGCCAAGACGUCGCCUGUCCGAAUGCCUCCUCAGGGCUGCCCCCUUUUAUCCUAGAUCGUCCCGCUCCACCUAAGCAGCUCGCGCUCACGAAGGCAGAAAAGCUCGACGUCCAGCCCCUGGUAGACGCGCUCGUGGACGUCGUCAGGAGGGGAGUCACCGGCAUGGAUUUGCUGGAGACUUUCCUUGGUCGGCGCAUACAACCGCUGCAGGCCCGCGACCACGCCAUGUGGCACUACUCGGGGGUCGAGGACUCCACUCGGACAAACAUCUUGAGUGUGACCGUGGAGAAGGUGGCAUCGUGGGUGCUCCAGAUCACUGGCGCCUGCGAGAACCCCAGGGGGUCACAGCGAGUGAAGGCUUUCAGUGCGGACAAUCCUCCUCCGAAUCGGGUGAGUACUAUGCGCCGAGUGCACAUAUCUGUUUUGGUUUCAUUGCUUUUUUGCAUCUCUGCCUGUCGCUUGAUGUCACCGACUGUUUUUCACGCAGAAGUGGACCAACUGGUUUUCCCCUGUCUCGAACGGGAACCGGGACGAGGAGGAGGAAGAAGGUAGCCAAGAGGGCAGCGUGGAGAGCGUUGAGUAUGUCUCCGACAGCGGGGAGUCGGAGGAAGAGAUUAGCGAGGAAGACGAGGAAGACGAGGAGCAGGACUCGCCGCCUCCGCAAUUAGAGCAUCGGACCAAGCGCCGACACGAGCCUGCCGUCCCCUCGGCUCCUCCGGCAUCUUCGAGCGCCCCGCCCGCUGCUCCAGCGGUUCCGAGCGUUCGGAGUGCCAAGAGGGCCAGGGAUGCCGCCGCUGAACCUUCGGGUCAGUCUUCCAAGGCGGCCAAACCGAGUGGGUCCAAACCUCAGAAGGCUCUGCCGCGGAUGAGGGUUGUUGUCCCCGUCACCUCCACGUAAGUGUAUUGAUCUUCUAAUUUCUUCUGAUAUCCGAGUGAACUCCUGUUUUAUUGGUCGGAUGGAUUUCACUCGACAGAGUCGCUACUUCUGCCACCUCUCCGGCACGCCAGGAGGAUGACCCCAUGGACACGGACAACGUCGUCUCGUCCCAGCCAGGUGCGUUGUAGUGACUUCGAGUGUUUUAUACUAUCGCGUCUCGAAUCGGUCCUGCUUCUUUCUUUUUCUGAGACCUCGUGUCAUUCGGCCUGUCAGGGGCCAUUUGUCUGUACGACGGCGACCAGGGGAGAGCCGAACCAGCUGCGGAGCCUGUUCUUGAGGCUGCUCCUCCUGCUGCUGCUCUCGCCGCCGACAUGCUGCCGACUAAGGCGCUGGCACAGACUGAACCGGUGCUGGUGGAUGAGGAGCCGACUGGAGCGGACCUUGGGAUGCCUCGGGAACUUCCGACGCUGCCAGGCUCGUCGAAUGUCGAGUUCAACAUCCAGCAUCUCCCGGAGGAGCAGGUGGGAGCGGCUAAGGGAGCUAUGGUGCAGGCGGAGCUGAUGGCUGGAGAAGCCAAGAGGGCCUACGACUCCGUUGCGUCCUUGUACCAGCGGAGCUUGGAGCUACGGGAUGAUAUCCGAGUAAGUGGGCUAGUAAGUAUUUACUUUUCUCUUGUAACCCACUGGGUGUUCUUGGAUAGCAUAUGUUGUUUGCAAUGGGUUCACUCUGAGUGAACCCAGUGGGUGUAGUCCCCGAGACUUCUGUCGAGUGCUUGCGCCGACAGUUGUCUUUAUACAUAUUGUCUUUACUUUGGUCAUGUCUGUAAAUAAUAUGACCGACUGCGAGCAGUUGUUGCACUCGGAGUGCACUUACUGUAAGAAUCCCCGAGAGUAAGUUGUACUCAGGUCGGGUAGUAUUGGCCUCGUAGGCGUAGGUGAUAACAUGCAUCGCAAUAGGGCGGGCCUGCUUGAGUUGCAUGCCAGUGGGGUCACUCUUAGUGAACCCACUGGGUGUAGUCCCCGAGACCGCUGUCGACUGCUUGCGUCGGCAGGGGUCUGAAGAACUUAGACUUUUAUUUGUUGAACUUUCUGAUUGUCUCUUGGUGCUGGCUGGCAGAAAACUUGUGAGAUGGGGACCGCAUACGAGACUCUGAGGGCGGAGAAGAUUCAGUUUGCGGGUGAGCGGGAUGCGGCACUGCUGGCAAUGGAUGGUAGGAAGGUGGUGCUGGCGGAGCGAGAGAAGUCGCUGGAGCAGGCGCGUGAAGCCAACAAAGUGCUGACGGAGGAAGUGGAAAAUAUGAGGAAACAGAGGAUUGCGCUCACGGGUCAGAUGGUCGUGCUGAAUAAACGAUGCAUAGCUCAGGAGAAGUAUGUCAGCGACUGGGCUCGGCAGAUGAUGACGCGUCUGGCUGGUAAGUCCUGUUUUUUGCCGAGUGUUUGUCCUAUGUACGUCACAGUCGGCGCUUAUUGCUUGCUUGUCUUGUUGGUGCAGAUUUUUGUGGUGACGCUGAAGCUGAAUCAGCUGAUGUGGAGCGGUCUAUUCUUGAGAACGUUCCACUCAAGGAAGAUGCCAACCGGGAUCUGCUCCGAGCGCACAUCCGCAUGGGCAAAGUUGGUCCUUUCAUCGGUCGACUGAGAGAAGUCGUCGGCCGAAUCGACAAGGAGCUUUGGCCUGAAGAUGAGUCGCGACAAGAGAUGGACAACUUGCUGAGUCGACUGGAGGAGGUCCCCGACCGAGUGCAGUCAUGGAAGAAAUCUGCGGCUCGUUGUGGUGCAGAUGUUGCGUUGUCCUUGGUCCGAGUUCAUUGCAAGGAGGUGCGUGAGGAAAAGCUGAAAACGUUGAAGGUCGCCAACACGAAGAAACUUCAAUUCAAAGACUUCAUGGAAACCUUCCUUGAAAGUGCCACCCGCAUCGCCGACGGAAUCGACCUGGACACCUUCGUGGAGCCCUCCAGUCCUGGCGCCGACCCAGCUGACGCGUAAGAAAACUUUUAUCCUCGGUAUGCCGAGUGUUGAUGUGUUAGAAACUUUGGCCACUGUUGUUGGCCGUUACAUUCUUGUUUCGGUGUGGGUAAGCUUGAUCCACGCCGAGCCACUAUCUUUGUUUGAACUUUAAAUCGAAUCCUUUGCUCUUGUGUUUGCAAAUUUGACUCGAGUUUUUGUUUGUCGUUUGUUGGUGAAGCCAAAGGCAAACAUUCGGAACAUGUCAGUUGUCUUGACAUCUGCAUGAACCUCAUUGAGGGUCCGUGGGAUUUCCGAUUGGAUCCGUAUUAUCACCGAGUGGAUUAGUAAGAUCGCCGAGUGGACCGGUAGGACGUACUCGAGGUCGAAGAGUACUUGGGCGAUGCAGGAUCGCAUCUAGGUUGUCGAGUGCGACUAUGAGGUUGCACUCGGGGCGAGUUGGUACUGAUGUAGUUGUCAGUUGUUUUGACAUCCACAUGAGCCUCAAUGAGGGUUUGCAACUUAUGUAGUUGUCAGUUGUUUUGACAUCCACAUGAGCCUCAAUGAGGGUCUACAACUCAUGUAGUUGGGCGAUUCUGGAUCGCAGCUGAGCCUCCGAGUGCACGCUCGUAGAAAGUUGAUACUUAGGCGAUUCUUGAUCGCAUCUAAGUGUCCGAGUGUGACGUGAAGUGCACGCUCGAAGAAAGUUAAUACUUAGGCGAUUCUUGAUCGCAGCUAAGUCUCCGAGUGUGACGUGAAGUGCACGCUCGAAGAAAGUUAAUACUUAGGCGAUUCCUGAUCGCAGCUAAGUCUCCGAGUGCAACGUUUAGUGCACACUCGGAGAAAGUUAUUCCUUAAGUGAUUACUGACCACAACUAAGUCCCCGAGUGNNNNNNNNNNNNNNNNNNNNNNNNNNNNNNNNNNNNNNNNNNNNNNNNNNNNNNNNNNNNNNNNNNNNNNNNNNNNNNNNNNNNNNNNNNNNNNNNNNNNNNNNNNNNNNNNNNNNNNNNNNNNNNNNNNNNNNNNNNNNNNNNNNNNNNNNNNNNNNNNNNNNNNNNNNNNNNNNNNNNNNNNNNNNNNNNNNNNNNNNNNNNNNNNNNNNNNNNNNNNNNNNNNNNNNNNNNNNNNNNNNNNNNNNNNNNNNNNNNNNNNNNNNNNNNNNNNNNNNNNNNNNNNNNNNNNNNNNNNNNNNNNNNNNNNNNNNNNNNNNNNGUGCAUACUCGGAGAAAGUUAGAACUUAGGCGAUUCUGGAUCGCAACUAAGUUUUUUUUUUGUGUGACCGGAGUCAGCAACUACGGAAGAAUUCUAAAUCUGCAAAAACUGAAUCUGCUUUAUAUUAUUUCAUCAAUACUUGUUCUUUACACUGCUUCAGUCGACGAUCACAUGUAGAAGCGCUUCAGGAGGUCUCCGUUCCACGCACGCGGCUCGUCUGUCUCCCUCUGGAUGUUGUAGAGUCUGUAUGCUCCGUUGUUCAGCACCUUGGAGAUGAUAAACGGUCCUUCCCAGGCCGGAGCCAACUUGUGAGGUCUUUGCUGAUCCACUCGGAGCACUAAGUCGCCUGCUUGGAAUGUGCGACUCCUGACGUGACGUGCAUGAAAGCGCCGUAGAUCUUGCUGAUAAAUGGUUGAACGAGUUAGUGCCAUCUCGCGCUCCUCCUCUAGAAGGUCCACUCCAUCUUGCCUUGCUUGCUCUGCUUCAGCUUCGGAGAAGAGUUCAACUCGUGGAGCAUUAUGAAGCAAGUCACUCAGAAGGAUUGCUUCUGCUCCAUAGACGAGGAAGAACGGUGAUCGCCCCGUUGAUCUGUUCAGGGUUGUGCGAAGACCCCAAAGUACUGAAGGUAACUCGGUGACCCAUGCGCCAGCGGCGUGUCCCACCUCUCGCAGGAGUCGGGGCUUCAAACCUUGAAGAAUAAGCCCAUUCGCCUGCUCUGCUUGUCCAUUGGAUUGAGGAUGUGCUACGGAAGCAAAAUCUACUCGGAUACCUUGGCUUGCACAGAAACCUUUGAAUCUGUCUGAGUCGAAGUUUGUCUCGUUAUCCGUGAUUAUGCUCUGAGGUACACCGAAUCUGGAGAUGAUGUCCCUGACAAACUUGACGGCUGUUGAGGCGUCGAGUUUCUUGAUGGGCUUAGCCUCGAUCCAUUUCGUGAACUUGUCGACUGCCACCAACAAAUGUGUGUAUCCCCCCUGGCCUGUCUUGAAUGGUCCGACUGUGUCUAAUCCCCAAACUGCAAACGGCCACACGAGCGGGAUUGGCUUCAACGCAGAUGUCGGCUUGUGGGACUUGUUGGAGUAGAACUGACAGCCCUCACAUCGGUCGACCAUAUCUUUAGCCAUCUCGUUCGCCUGCAGCCAGAAAAAACCAGCCCUGAAUGCCUUGGCGACGAUUGCUCUCGAAGAGGCGUGAUGACCGCAGGUUCCCGAGUGAAUAUCUUCCAGGAUCAGCUGUCCCUCCUCUGGGGAGAUGCAUCGUUGGAGAAUGCCUGAAAUGCUCUCCUUUUAUAAUUGGCCAUCAAUGACAGUGAAUGCCUUCGACCUACGGACUAUCUGCCUGGCCUGGACUUCGUCUUCUGGUAGUUCCUGUCUCAGGAUAUAUGCAAUGAUCGGCACAGUCCAAUCAGGGAUGACAGCAAGAAUCUCCAUGACCAGAUCAACCAUAGCAGGUACAUCGACUUCAGUCGGAUCUGUUGAACUCUUUGGUUGUAUUGGCUCUUCUGUAAAAGGAUCUUCUUUGACCGAAGGGAGGUGAAGGUGCUCGAGGCAGAUGUCACUCGGGACUGGUCUCUGAGUGGAUCCGAGUUUUGCCAACUCAUCAGCUGCUUGGUUCUUCAGCCUCGGAACAUGGUGAAGUUCUAGACCAUCAAACUUCUUCUCGAGCUUCCUUACUGCAUUGCAGUAUGUGUUCAUGGUGGGGUUCCUGACGUCCCACUCUUUCAUCACUUGAUUGACCACCAAAUCCGAAUCGCCGUAGACCAUCAGGCGACGGACGCCGAGUGAGAUGGCCAUACGCAACCCGUAGAGGAGAGCUUCAUACUCUGCCUCGUUGUUGGAGGAAUCGAAGUGUAUCUGCAGCACGUACUUGAGCUUGUCACCCUUUGGUGAUAUGAUCACAACGCCAGCGCCGGAGCCAUUCAACAUCUUGGACCCAUCGAAGAACAUUGUCCAAUGGGCCGAGUAGAUGUGGGUCGGUUGUUGUUGUUCUACCCAUUCUGCUAUGAAGUCAGCCAGAGCUUGAGACUUAAUAGCUUUCUUGGCCUCAAACUUGAUAUCGCAGUACAGCAUCUCCAUUGCCCACUUCGCCACUCGGCCUGACGCGUCUCGAUUGUGGAGAAUUUCUGCCAACGGAGCAUCAGAAACGACAAACACCGUGUGGUCUUGGAAAUAAUGGGCCACCUUCUUCGCAGUCAUGUAAAUCCCGUAGAUAAGUUUUUGAUAAUGGGGAUACCUCUGCUUGGAAGGGGUCAGGACUUCAGAGACGUAGUACACUGGCCGCUGAACUUUAUAUGCUUUGCCUUCUUCUUCUCGUUCGACUGUAAGAACAGUACUGACGACUUGAUUUGUAGCCGCGAUAUACAGAAGAAGGGGCUCUUUACUGAGUGGAGCAGUAAGAACCGGCUGGGUGGAAAGUAGGACUUUGAGGUCGUCGAAUGCGACUUGGGCUUCGUCUGUCCACUUGAAAGUAUCUGAUUUCUUCAUGAGUCAGUAUAGAGGAAGCGCUUUCUCGCCGAGUCGACUGAUGAACCUGCUCAAAGCCGCUAGGCAACCUGUGAGCCGUUGAACAUCGUGUAUUCUGACCGGCCUCUCCAUUCGGACGAUGGUCCCGAUCUUUUCGGGGUUGACGUUGAUCCCUCGUUCGGAAACAAAGAAACCGAGUAACUUUCUGCUGGGAACACCGAACGAACAUUUGGCGGGGUUGAGCUUGAUAUCGUACCUACGAAGGUUGGCGAAUGUUUCUGCCAAGUCAGUCAGCAGGUUGGAACCUUUGUGUGACUUGACUACGAUAUCAUCCAUAUACGCCUCCACAUUCCGACCAAUCUGGUCGAGGAGACAUUUUUGGAUCAUGCGCAUAAAGGUAGCUCAUGCAUUCUUCAGACCAAAUGGCAUAGUGAUGUAGCAGAAGCACCCGAAUGGGGUGAUAAAGGUUGUCUUUAAUUCAUCGGGACCAUACAGACGGAUCUGAUGAUAACCCGAGUAGGCAUCAAGAAAUGACAAAUGCUCGCACCCCGCAGUCGAAUCGACAAUUUGAUCUAUGCGGGUGAGCGGAAAAUGGUCUUUCGGGCAGACCUUAUUGAGGUGUUUGAAGUCGAUGCACAUUCGGAGCGACUUGUCCUUCUUGGGCACCAUGACAACAUUGGCGAGCCACUCGGAGUGGUGAACCUCGCGAAUGAAGUUGGCUGCCAGCAGCUUGGCCACCUCCUCCCCGAUUGCUUUCCUCUUGUGCGUGGCGGACCGGCGCAAGCACUCUUAGACGGGCCGAGCAACGGGGUCCACAUGCAAUUGGUGCUCAGCCAACUCCCUGGGUACACCUGGCAUGUCGGAGGGUUUCCAUGCGAAGAUGUCCCAGUUCUCACGGAGGAAUUGGGUGAGCUCGGCUUCCUAUUUAGGAUCGAGGGUGGUGGAGAUGUUCGUCGGGGCAGCAGUGUCGUCCGUCGGGUGGAUGCUGACCUUCUUUGUCUCUCCCGCUGACUGAAAUGCGGAUUCCGAAGCUGGCUUAUUUGAGCGCAUCAGGUCGGCGGGGUCAACUGUUUUCUUAUACUCGUCGAGCUUGAGGACGGCCAUCUGCUGGUCGGCGAUUCUUGAUCCUUGCUACAAGCAUUCUUCGGCUCGCUGCCGAUUGCCUGUGAUGGUGAUCACGCCUUUUGGGCCUGGCAUCUUCAGCUUCAAGUAUACGUAGCAUGGACGGGCCAUGAAACUCACAUACACUCGGCGGCCCAGGAUUGCGUGGUAAGCGCUCUGGAAAUCCACCACCUCAAAUGUGAGCUUUUCCUUGCGAAAGUUCUUGUCGGAGCCGAAAACGACGUCCAACGCGAUCUGGCCGAGUGACUUGGCCUUCCGUCCGGGGACGACUCCAUGGAACUGCAUACUGCUCUCGCUGAGUUUGGACAUCGGAAUACCCAUCCCCUUGAGAGUGUCAGCGUACAUGAUGUUCAAACCGCUGCCGCCGUCCAUGAGGACUUUGCGCAGUCGGACUCCUUCCACCACCGGGUCGACGACCAGAGCCUGUCUUCCUGGGGUGGGAACAUGCGCUGGAUGAUCUGACUGGUCAAAGGUGAUCGCAGUCUGAGACCAUUUAAGGAACUUGGGGUUGGUUGGAGUGGCCAUGUUAACCUCCCUGUUCACCAGCUUCAGUCGACUCUUGCUUUCGACGUCAGCAAAAAUCAUGAGUAUCGCAUGGACUUGGGGGAACGGAUCCUCCUUAUCCUCCUCAUCUUGUUCAUUGACCUUUUCACUCGGUUGCCCUUCGCCGAACCCCUAGAUCAGGAGGCGGCACUGCCGAGUGGUAUGCUUCGGAUAUAUGGGGUUGCCCUCUUCGUCCAUCUUCGUAUGAACCGGGCAUGGUUGGUCCAGGAUGGGAUUAUUGAACGGCUUCUUCUUGGGGUAAACUGCGCCUUCCCUUUGCCCUUGAACUUGGCAUUGGUCACGACUACAGCUUCUGCCUGCGGAGUGGAUGGAGCUUUUUGCUUUUGCUUCCGAGUGUUGCUUCCAUCUCCGUCACCGACUGUCUUGUGCUUGCCGCUUCGGAUGCGGUCCUCUUCUUCGCCAUUUGCGUAGCGAGCUGCUAUCUCCAUCAUCUUGCUCAUGGAGAUGUCACCUGUUCGACCGAACUUCAGGUACAGCUCUCUGUACCGCACGCCUGCCUUGAAAGCGCAGACUGCUUGAUGCUCGGUGACGUUCUCCACCGUGUGGUAGAGAGUCGUCCAACGCUGGAUGAAGUCGCGCAGGGGCUCAUUCGGCUUCUGGACGCAAUGCUGGAGCUCCACGAGGCCCGCAGGGUGCUUGCACGUCCCUUCGAAGGUCCGGAUGAACACUCGGGCCAGAUCCGCCCAACUGUAGAUGCUCGAGGGGGCUAACUGAUUCAGCCAUGCUCGCGCCGAGCCGUCGAGCAUCAGAGGGAGGUGCUUCACGGCGACAUGGUCGUCCCCUCCUUCGAUCUGGACUGCCACUCGGUAGUCAUCUAACCAUGUUUCUGGCUUGGACUCUCCUGUAAACUUACUGAUUCCCGCCGCCAAUCGGAAGUUGGGCGGGAUGUCAGCCGAGCGGAUGGCUCGACUAAAACACUCGGGACCAGACACGAUGUUCCUGCUUCCACUUGGAAGGUCCAUAUCGUGACCAUCACGGUGGGCUCGGCCCCUGUCGACUCUUCACUGGGCGAUACGCCCUCUUGCGUCAGGUCUUGGAUCGUAAGUGUCGCCGACUGAACGCCGAUCAUCAUGAUGUCGGGACCCAUAGGGCCCACCCCGCGGAGGGGUGCGUGAGCGGCGGCGAUCUUCGUGAAUCAUGGAACGGAUGCCUCCCCUGUGGCGCUGAUGGGAACCAAGGCUGUGAACCGACCGAUGCGCAUUCGCAUGAACGGAACUAUUAUAGAUCCGGUUGUGCGACUGGGAGACUGCCGAAUUCUGCUGCUGCGCCGUGUGCAACAGGGCUCAGAUCUGCUCGAUCCCCCUUCCUGCCUCUAAAUCAGUCGGCUGGAGGGAAUCGGCUAUCUUGGCAGCCGCAGCCAAGUUGAGGAGGGGCGUGCGGAAUAACUCCACGUUGCUCCGCCGAGUGUGCCGACUGGUAGAACGGCGAGGAGGACGGCGUGCACCGGAUGCUUCGCCGACCUCGCGCUCGCUUCGGCCAGCUUGACGGGGAUCUUCAUGGGAGUUGGCCAUGUGUACUUCUGCUGCGGGCCCGCGACCCGCAUACUCGGAAGGAAAUUCAGUCGGAACCGAGUCCGAGUGCUGGGAUAGCGGGGCAACCACAACGGACUCUAGAACCGCCACUUGCGAAGACGCGUUCUGGCGCGCCUGGGCAUGCUGCACACAACGCUGGAGCCGCGGACGGCGGGACCGCUUGCUGCGGCGUGUGACGGCGGUGCGGGUCGACACCGGAGUCGACUGUUGGAGAAGAAGAAUGUCGCGGGCGCCGGCACGAAAGUGCAUAGCCCCACGACGGGAAGCGCCUCGACGUCGAGAGGAGCAUCCCGAAGCCAUGCCGAAUCGUCGACGAUGAAGGAGAGAGCGCCGAAGGAGAUCUGGUGACCCAUGCUCGAACCUCCACCGGACGACAUGACGAAAAGGAAGUAGUCGCAAACUCGCCGGAAGUCGCUUAGACGCCUGCCCCAAGGUGGGCGCCAACUGUCGUGGGUAUAAGCCUGACAGUAGAUGUGUAGGGUACGAAAAGGAUGGGCAGAGUCCUAGCUACGGCGAGAGUGUUUGAGUUCAGGCCCCUCUACGGUGGAGGUAAUAGCCCUACGUCUCAGUGCUUAGGGAGCUUGUUGUCGAGUGGAAUAGGGAAUACAAUGAGUUGCUAACUCCUUUACCAGCGGGGGAGGGUGGCUUAUAUAGAGUGCGCUGCCCUCCACAACGGUUCCGGUACAGGGGUGGAGUAGUGGCGAUUGAAUGCGUACGUUACAGGUAACGGAUGACCUAAAUGCUAAUAAAUGCACCUGGAAACGUACGACCGUUUCCCUCCAGGGGGGUUACGAUGUACCGAGUGGUAUCCAGUCGGUCAGCUUGAUAUCCUCCGAAUGUUAGUCCCCGACUAGAUCAUCGAGGACCUGUUACCGACUGGAUGAUGGGGACUCCUUAAUUCAGUUGGAACUGACUAAGGCUCUUGUCCUUUGUGAGGGGUAGUCCUUGGGUAGGACCUACAGGUCAGGCCUAUGACCCUACCCUAGGACUAUAACCCCAUCACUAGCAAAGCUUAAUGGGUGAGGUAUGGUUAAGUGGUGAGGUUGCAGUAGCGGCUAAGCAUAUAUUAGGUGGCUACACUUACGAGUACCAGAAAUAAGAGGGGGAAGAUCUAUGCAUAGCGGACGUGAACUACUGUUGAUCAAAUAAAUGAUCCUGAACACCUACCUACGUCAAACAUAACCCGACCGUGUCCUCGAUUGGAGAAGGAACUCACGAAAGAGACAGUCACGGUUACGCACACAGUUGGCAAGUUUUAAUUAAGUUAACUUCAAGUUAUCUAGAACCAGUGUUAAACAAAGUUUCCACGUUGCCACAUAACCGCGGGCACGGCUUUCCAAAAAGAUUUAACCCUGCAGGGGUGCUCCAACUAGUCCAUCACAAAUUACCACAAGCCGCAUAGAAAUCCUCAAUCACGAAGCUCGCGAUCUCGUCGGAUUCCCUAGUGGAAAACCUCAACUCUGAGAUUACCCAAUGCAUCACCGGAAUCCCGAUGCACAAGAUAUCUCGUCAAAGGUAAAACUAAUCCAGCAAGGCCACCCGGUGUGUCGAUGAACCUGAUAGGAGCCGCGUAUCUCGUUCUCAGGACACACCAUCUAUGCAUAGUGGACGGUAGCCAAACCUCGAGUUGCCCCGAGGUGGCACCGCCUACCGCUAGGUGGGUGGACCAACACUCAUGCGAAGCACUGGCCCGGGCGGUUGAUUAAAUUAUCCUCGAGGUCCGGAAAGUCCCUAUGCAAUUUUAUUAGGUGAUUAGGCAAAUGUAGUACCAAAGUUGGUCCUUGCCAGACCAGCUUUAAUCUAAAACGAAUUAUCAAGGGGGUCCCCAUAACAACCCCGAUCGUGCUAGGAGCGCUCAAUUAUGGAACAUAACACCGGUAGCCGAAACUAAGGGGGCAAAGGUGGAACAAAACACCAGGCUAGAAAGGCCGAGCCUUCCACCUUUUACCAAGUAUAUAGGUGCAUUAAAUUAAAUAGCAUAUAAUAUGGUGAUAUAACAAGGAACCCAUGCUUUCACAUGGAAGCAUCUGCACCUGCAACUAGCAACGCUAUCAACAGGGUUAAGCAAGCGGUAACAUAGCCAAUCAGUGGUUUGCUAGGUUGAACAGGUUGAAGGUUUUCAUGGCAUUGUUGAGAGGCUGAUAUUUAACAUGUGGUAGGCAACAAGACAUAAUCGAUAGCGGCGAUAAAACUAGCAUGGCAAUGAUAGUAAUGGUAUCUGAGGAAAUGGUCAUCUUUCCUGAGAUCCCGCUUGGAAGAAGAAUGACUCCGUGAAGCAGACGAACCAACGUAGUCGAACGGGUCCUCACAUCCGACACGCUUGCGGAACUCUAUCGAAACGAAGCAAACCGGAAACACAAAUCAACACACGAUAUUCACCACACGAUGCACAACACAUAUGAUGCAUGAGCAGCUGAAUACAUGCAAGUCACGGCAUGACAAAUCACGCAAUCAAACGCUACACAUUAAGUGAAGUUCAAUAUGCAACGAGUUGCAUAUUGACGAAACACCACGUUUAUUUAUUUAGUUCUAUCCCGAUUAGAUACACGGCAUUAUUAAAUGUGGUUAAACAUGGCAAGAGGUGAAGCGCAAUUAAACUAUCUCUCUAGGCAUUUUAAAUGAGGUCGGAAAUGACAUAUAGCACCUCCGAGACGACCUCACAUGUUAAUUUACAAUUCUGUCCAGAUCUGAACUAAUGCAUUUAAUUAGUUGUUAAACAGCAAAACAAAUAGAUUCACGUGAUUCUACGCGUCAUUUCAAGCAAUUUACACAUAGAAAUCAUCUCCAACGGAGCUACGGGUCAAAAGUUACAAGCACCGCAAGAUAUGAUGGCAUGAAUGCAAUAUGUGUGCAACGAUGGCUAUGAGCACUUCAAAACAUACAGACAGCAAGAGAAAAUGAAACUACACGAGAUUCUAAGCAAGUUUCAUGUAGGACACGAUCAAAUCGGAGCUACGGAUCAAAAACUACGAGCAAAACAAGAUAUCACCACAAUCUGCCAAAAUCAGCCACAUAGCAUUUUCUACACCCCACAACUAUGGGCUACUCAACUCCAAUAUACUCAACCAAGGCAUGUCACGAAAUAGGGCAAGAAGCACUACCACAAACAACUAACUACAACUAGCAUGGCAUCAAGGAUCACUAGGGAAAGAAGUCACAAAAUGGCAUCCCACACACUAUUUCAGACUUAGUGAAAAUUACACCUCAUGAAAGUGCAGUUUUCGAUCAGAAGCUAUAUUGAAAGCAGCAAAACCAAUAGCUACAGGACUCCAAAUGGCAUUAAAAUUCACAGCAAGCUAUAGAAACACAAGGACUACAACUUACUCCAUUGGACCAACCUCAAAAGAGCUACAGAUCACAAGAUACAAGCAAGACAAGACAGCAACAAAAUAUAACAGAUUCCAGACUUGGAAAUAUUUUCAGCACCUCCAAAUCAGCACUAUUUCUAGCAACUUGAGAGCAAGCAAACCACACCUAAACAUGCAUAUCUAUUGCAACUAAAAAUACCAGGGGCUAGACAAAACACCCAAGAUCAACUCACUAGUUGACAUCUCCGUCAAACGAGGCACGGAAUAAAUCCUACGAAAUAAACAAGAGGGCAACACGGCAAAAUAUCUCGCGAACUAACUUACUCAAAAGCUAAAACUAAUUGCACAGAAGAAUCCAAUCCAAUGGAUUUUUCUACCCCGAAAACAUAUAAAAUAUGUGGGGUGCAACACAAAAAUAUCGCGACACUUAAAUGCGAGAAAAAAAACUAUACACGGGAAAAUAAACUAGCGGCAAUCCCUACACGCAAAAAUACAAAUGACUGCACUAAAAUACAUGGGAAAAUGGUUCCUAAAACAUGAACAUUUUAUCUAAGGCAUUCGGGCAAACCGGACACGCGCGAAAAAUAAACUACGGGCAAAACAUAUUAGGACAGCACGUGUUUCUAGGCAUACGGUGCGCUAAACGAUGUCAAACAAAUAUGCAAGUUUUAAAUUCGUAUUCUAUGCGCAAAACUACCACAAAGCCAUAUACAACUCGCUCCGAUCCGACAUACGGAUUAAAAACUACGGACAAUUUAAAAUAGCCAUUUUCCUGAAACUAAUUAAAACCGAAAUCCUAAAAAAAAAGCUAACGGGCCUAAUCUGAACAGGGCCCAACAUGAGCUUGGGUGCAAGUGCUAAAUCGUGCCACGGGCGCUGGAUAGAGGCAGGGCUCACCUUGGGCCUAGCCCAAGCCGACCUGGUGAUGGGCUCGGGGAGGCGGUCCGGCUUGGGGCGGAGUGGCCGAGGCGGCGCUGACGCGGGGGUGGGCCGAGCUGGCCGAGGCCCAUGCGGUACUGUGCCCUGUCAUCGCGGGGGCGAGUGCUGCGCCUCCUGAUCGGGUCUGGCCUUCGGCGGCGGCGGAUCCGGGAGAUCUCGAUGGAACGACGCCGGGCGGCGGCUGCCGGCGGCCUCCACGGCGGCGCAGGGACCCGGCGAGGCACCCCCAACCGGCGGCGAGCACGGGAAGGAGGAGGCCUAUGGUGCGACUACGUGCAGCGCUCGGGCCGGCGGGAGGUUGAAGGCGGCGACGCUCCGGCGGCCAUGGACGGCAGGGCACCGAGGCAGGGCCGUCCAGAGGCUGCGGUGGUCGGCUCCGGCGAGGUGCUGGUGAGGGCACGCGGGAGGACUCCGGUGAGGCGCGCGAGCAGGACUCCAGUGAAGCUCCUGCGGGGCUCGGAAGGCAGGGAGGCAGAAUGGGCGGCGGCGGCGGUUCGGGCCCCGGGUGGGCUCGUGCGGGCCGGUCGCUGGGGGGAGGAGGUGCUGCGGGGAGAGGUGGGAGACCAUGUGGCGGCGGCUGGGUUGGUGGGCGCGGAAAUCAAGGCAGCCAGCUAGGGUUUCCCUAAAAUGGCGGGGAGGGCUUCUUUUAUAGGAAGGGGGCUAGGAUGGAGUGUAUGUGGGGGUUUUUUGACCCUCCGAUCACGAUCGUGCGAUCCGAUCGGAGAGGCGGGUUAGGGUUAGCUGUGUAGAGUGGUUUUGGCUAAGAUGAGAGGGAAGUGGUGCGGCGCGGCAACGAUUUUUAAAACACCAACAAACGUCCGACGAUAGACCGAAUACAGUGCCGCUACGGUCGACCGUUCGGGUACGAGACGCACUCCGAUCGCGACGAAAUUUGACAGGUGGCCUAACUACAGCUAAUAAAGACCGCGCGUCGAAUCUCAACCCGAUCAGAGGAAGUUUUUCACACACUUUUAAAACAGGGUUUUGACGAUGCCGCGGGCGCGUGCAUGUGCGGUCGGGCUCAGAACGGACAACGACGCGAACCGGCAACUAACAACGGAUGCAAGUUUUGAAAACUAGCGGCAACAGAGAUGUCGAUGCGAUGUCGAUGAUGCGCAUGAUGCGAUGGUGAUGCGACAAAAGAAAAAUAACACACGACGGGAAUGGAAUAGAAAAGGGGGAUCUUCUGGAACAUCGGCACCGGGCUGUCACACACUUUUACUUCAUUGCACUUCCCGCCUUCAGAUCUCACUUUGCAAUCAAUCUUGAAGGGAUUGACAACCCCUUUAUAGCAUUGGAUGCAAGCUUGUUUGUGUUUGCGCAGGUACUCAGGACACUUGGCUUGAUUCUCGUACUGGAUUGAUACCUUGGUUCUCAAAACUGAGAGAAAUACUUACUGCUACUGUGUUGCAUCACCCUUUCCUCUUCAAGGGAAAAACCAACGCAAGCUCAAGAGGAAGUAGAAGGAUUUGUGGCGCCCUUGCCGGGGAGGAUCAAGUCAAGAAUAGUCUCCUGUCAACGUGUCAAUUUCUGGCACCGGGGAUUAUUCUAGGUGAAGCUCAUCCAAGUAAGUGUCACAAAUUCAUCUCUUUCAUUUACUUUUUUGCCUCUCGUUUUCCUCUCCCCCACUUCUGAAAAACAAAAAUUUACAAAAAUAUUUGCCUUUUUCGUUCGCCCUUUUCUCUCGCUUGCUUUCUGUUCGCUUGUGUGCUUGUUUGCUUGCUGAAGUCACCAUGACUAAAAACACCAAACUUUGUGACUUCUCGAAUACUAAUAAUAAUGAUUUUAUUAGUACUCCGAUUGCUCCCGCCACUAGUGCGGAAUCAUACGAAAUCAAUGCUGCUUUGUUGAAUCUUGUUAUGAAAGAGCAAUUCUCCGACCUUCCUAGUGAAGAUGCCGCAUCCCAUAUUAAUACCUUCAUUGAGCUUUGCGAUAUGCAAAAGAAUAAAUAUGUGGAUAAUGAUGUGAUUAAAUUGAACCUUUUUUCGUUCUCGCUGCGAGAUCGCGCAAAAACUUGGUUUUCAUCUUUGCCCAAAAAUAGCAUUGAUUCUUGGAACAAGUGCAAAGAUGCUUAUAUAUCCAAGUAUUUUCCGCCAGCUAAGAUUACCUCUCUCCGUAAUGAUAUCAUGAAUUUUAAGCAACUUGAUCAUGAACAUGUUGCACAAUCUUGGGAGAGGAUGAAAUUGAUGAUUAGAAAUUGUCCCGCUCAUGGCUUGAGUCUUUAGAUGAUUAUACAAAUCUUCUACGUUGGUUUGAAUUUCGCUUCUAGAAAUAUCUUGGACUCCGCCUCAGGUGGAACGUUCAUGGAAAUCACAUUAGGAGAAGCCACAAAACUCCUAGACAAUAUCAUGACAAACUACUCUCAGUGGCACACUGAAAGGUCACCUACUAGUAAGAAGGUACACGCUAUAGAAGAAAUUAACUCGUUAAGUGCUAAGAUGGAUGAGUUAAUGAAUUUGGUUGCUACUAGAAGUGCUCCUUUAGAUCCUAAUGAUAUGCCCUUGUCUUCCUUGAUUGAGAGUAGAAACGCGAGCUUGGACGUUAAUUUUGUUGGUAGGAAUAAUUUUGGCAACAACAAUGCUUUUAGAGGAAACUAUGUUCCUAGGCCUUUUCCUAGUAACCCCUCUAAUAACUUUGGCAACUCCUACAACAAUACUCAUGGAAAUUACAAAAAAAUACCCUCUGAUCUAGAGAGUAAUAUCAAAGAGUUUAUCAACUCGCAAAAGAUUUUCAAUGCGUCCAAAGAGGAAAAACUACUCAAAAUUGAUGAUUUGGCUAGGAGCGUUGAUAGAAUGUCUAUUGAUAUUAACGCUUUGAAAGUUAGAUGUGCUCCUCCCAAGAUCAAUAUGGAUGAAACUUUGAAAGCUAUGCGUGUUUCCAUGAAUGAGAGCAAAGAAAGAACCGCCCAAAUUCGUGCUAGACAUGAAUGGCUUAAAAAGGUGUGUUCUCGUGAUAAGAAUCACGAAGAUCUUAAAGUGCUUGGUGUGACUCCCAUUGAAUCUUUGUUUUCUUGUGACAAACCUAAUGAUGAUGGGGCUGGAUAUGAAUCCACUUUGGUUGAAAAACGCCCCAAUGAUUCGGAGUUCAUCUAUCUUGAUGCUAAAAGCAUUGAAAGUGGAGUAGAAGAUAUUAAAACUUUGAGUAGUAAUGAAACUACUACUUUGGAUUUCAAGGAAUUCAAUUAUUAUAGUUGCUCUUUGAUUUAAUGCAUUUCCUUGAUGCAAUCCAUGCUAAACUCUCCACACGCUUAUAGCCAAAACAAGGCCUUUACCGAUCAUAUCGUCGAUCCUAUGAUAAAAUCUCUUGAAGAGAAACUUGAGUUGGAAGUUUCUAUUCCUAGAAAGCUUCAUGAUGAGUGGGAACCUACUAUCAAAAUCAAAAUCAAAAACUAUGAAUGCAAUGCUUUGUGUGAUUUGGGUGCUAGUGUUUCCACGAUUCCAAAGUCUUUAUGUGAUGUACUAGGCUUUAAUGAGAUUGAGGAGUGUUCUCUUAAUUUGCAUCUUGCGGAUUCUACUGUCAAGAAACCCAUGGAAAGGAUCAAUGAUGUUCUUAUUACUGCAAAUAGGAACUAUGUACCCGUGGAUUUCAUUGUGCUUGAUAUUGAUUGCAAUCCUACAUGCCCUAUCAUUCUUGGUAGACCUUUCCUAAGGACUAUUGGUGCUAUCAUCGAUAUGAAGGAAGGGAAUAUUAGGUUUCAAUUUCCUUUAAAGAAGGGCAUGGAGCAUUUUCCUAGAAAAAAAUAAGAUUGCCUUACGAAUCCAUGAUGAGGGCUACUUAUGGUUUGAGCACCAAAGACGACGAUACGUGAUUCUAUCGCCUUAUGCCUAGCUAAGGGCGUUAAACAAUAGCGCUUGUUGGGAGGCAACCCAAUGAAUUUAUCUUUUUACUUUCUGUUUUGUUGUGUCCACACCAUCAUAAUUCUGUUAUGAUUGUGUAUUUUGUGUUUAUUUUUGUGUUUGAGCCAAGCAAAACCUUUAUGACUAGUUUGGUGUGGGUUGUUUGAUCCUGCUAAAAAAAGACAGAAACUUCUCGCUCACGAAAUUAUUUUUCAUUUUUAUUCAGAAAGAGCUUUUGAGUUUAUUCUUUUUGAUUCUGGUUUAUGUGCCUUUUUCUCAGGCUUUCUUAAUUUGUCAGAGUUUUUUAGGUACCAUAAGUAUACGAAGUAUACAGAUUGCUACAGACUGGUCUAUUUUUGACAGAUUCUGUUUUUUGUUGUGUUGAUUGCUUAUUUUGAUGAAACUAUGGAUAAUAUCAGGGGGUACUAGCCAUGGGAAAGUGAGAAUAAAGUAAUCUAACACGAAUAUAAAUAUAAAUCAAGUUUUCUAAAGUACCUAAAGAGGUGGUAGUUUGUUUUCUUGUGCUAAUGAUAUCACGAGUUUCUGUUUAAGUUUUGUGUUGUGAAGUUUUCAUGUUUUGGGUGAUGUUCUCAUGGACAAAGGGAUAAAGAGUGGAAAGAGCUCAAGCUUGGGCAUUCCCAAUUAAUCCCAAGCCAAAUUCAAGGACACCAAAAAAUCCUAAGCUUGGGGAUGCCCCGGGAAGGCAUCCCCUCUUUCGUCUUCAAUCCAUCGGUAACAUUACUUGGAGCUAUAUUUUUAUUCACCACAUGAUAUGUGUUUUGCUUGGAGCGUCUUGUAUCGUAGGAGUCUUUUCUUUUUGUUGUGUCACAAUCAUCCUUGCUGCACACCUUUUGAGAGAUACAUACACUCAUCGUGAAUUUUCUAGAAUACUCAUUGUGCUUCACUUAUAUCUUUUGAGUUAGGCAAUUUUGCUCUAUGUGCUUCACUUAGAUCUUUUAGAGCACGGUGGUGCGUAACUUGGUUGUUGGCAUGUGCUAUGAAAGUAGUCCCAAAGGUGAUAGGUACCGAAAGAGCAUACAAUAAAACUUCCAUCUUCAUGUGCAUUGAGUAGAAAGAGAAGUUUGAUUCCUCUCAAUUAGUUUUGAGACGUGGAUUUGGUAAUAUUAAGAGUUAUGUUAGCAGGGUGUUGUGAAUCUAGAAAUACUUGUGUUGAAGUUUGUGAUUCCCGUAACAUGCACAUAUAGUGAACCGCUAUGUUAGGAAGUCGGAGCAUAAUUGAUCUAUUGAUUGUCAUGCUUUGUGUUGCGGUCGGGAUCGCGCGAUGGUUUACACCUACCAACCCUUCCCCUAGGAGUAUGCGUUUAGCAGUUUGUUUCGAUUACUAAUAAAAACUUUCACAACAAGUAUGUGAGUUAUUCAUGACUAAUGUGAGUCCAUGGUAUACAUGCACUUUCACCUUUCACCAUUGCUAGCCUCUCUAGUACCGCGCAAUUUUCGCCGGUGCACAAACCCACCAUAUGUCUUCCUCAAAACAGCCACCAUACCUACCUACUAUGGCAUUUUCAUGGCCAUUCCGAGAUAUAUUGCCAUGCAACUCCCACCGUUCUGUCUCAUGACUUGUGUCGCCAUUCUCAUAUUGCCAUUGCAUGAUCGUAAGAUAGCUAGCGAGAUGUUUCAAUGUCAUACACCAAGCUAGAUCGUUGCACAUCCUGGUACACUGCCGGAGGCAUUUCCUAUAGAGUCAUCAUCGUUCCAAGUUUUGAGUUGUGAGUAAAUAAAAGUGUGAUGAUCAUCAUUAUUAGAGCAUUGUCCCAUGUGAGGAAAUAAAAAAGGCCAAAGUUGCCCACAAAAAAAGGGAGAUGUGGAAAGAGGCCAAAGAGCCCAAACAAAAAAAAAACAAAAAAAGAGAGAAAAAGAGAGAAGGGACAAUGCUACUAUAUCUUUCCACACUUGUGCUUCAUAAUAGCACCAUGUUCUUCAUGAUUGAGAGAGUCUCGUUUUGUCGCCACCAUAUACUAGUGGGAAUCUUUAUUAUAUAACUUGGCUUGUAUAUUCCAAUGAUGGGCUUCCUCAAAAUUGCCCUAGGUCUUCGUGAGCAAGCAAGUUGGAUGCACACCCACUAGUUCUCCUUUUGAGCUUUCACAUACUUAUAUCUCUAGUGCAUCCUUUGUAUGGUAAUCCCUACUCAUUCACAUUGAUAUAUAUUAAUGGGCAUCUCCAUAGUCCUUUUAUACGCCGAGUCAAUGUGACCAUCUCCUUUUUGUCUCGUAACCUCCACCACACUCUAUUCCACCAUAGUGCUAUAUCCAUGGCUCACGCUCAUGUAUUGCGUGAGAGUUGAAAAAGGUUUGAGAAAGUAAGAGUGCAAAAACAAUUACUUGGCCAAUACCGGGGUUGUGCAUGAUUUAAAUUAGUUGUGUGGGGAUGAUGGAGCAUAGCCAGACUAUAUGAUUUUUGUAGGGAUAACUUUCUUUGGCCUUGUUAUUUCGAAAGUUCAUGAUUACCUUGCUAGUUUGUUGAAGUAUUAUUGUUUUCAUGUCAAUAGAAAACUAUUGUUUUGAAUCUUACGGAUCUGAACAUUCAUGUCACAUGAAAGAAAUUACAAAGGACAAAUAUGAUAUGUAGCAUUCCACAUCAAAAAUUCAGUCUUUAUCACUUCCCUGCUCGAGGACGAGCAGGAGUUAAGCUUGGGGAUGCUUGAUACGUCUCCAACGUAUCUAUAAUCUUUUAUGGUUCCAUGCUAUUAUCUUGUCAAACUUCAGAUGUUUUGUAUGCCUUUUAUAUCUUUUUUGGGACUAACUCAUUAACUGAGUGCCAAGUGCCACUUCCUGUUUUUUUCAUGUUUUUUACCCUUUUCACAGGAGAAUUUUAAACGGUGUCCAAACGGAAUAAAACUUCUAAAAAGAUUUUUUUCCGGAACAGAAGAUACGCAAGGGACGUGAGAACCAAGGCAGAGGCCACCAGGGGAGGCCACAAGCCCCCUAGGCACGGCCAGGGGGGCGCGCCUAGCACGCUUGUGGGCCCCCUGUGGCUCGUCUGCCCUACCUCUUCCGCCUAUAAAUUCCCGAAAAAUCCAAAACUGCGAGAGAGAUCCACGAAAAUACUUUUCCACCGCCGCAAGCUUCUAUCUCUGCAAGAUCCCAUCUAGGGCACGUUAUGGUGCCCUGCCGGAGGGGGAAUUCGGAUACGGAGGGCUUCUUCAUCAACACCAUGGCCUCUCUGAUGAUGCGUGAGUAGUUCACCAUAGACCUUCGGGUCCAUAGCUAGUAGCUAGAUGGCUUCUUCUCUCUCUUGGAUCUUCAAUACAAAGUUCUCCAUGAUCUUCAUGGAGAUCUAUCCUAUGUAAUCUUCUUUUGCGGUGUGUGUUUCGAGAUCCGAUGAAUUGUGGAUUUAUGAUCAGAUUAUCUAUGAAUCUUAUUUGAGUUUCUUCUGAUCUCUUAUAUGCAUGAUUUCAUAUCCUUGUAAUUCUCUUCGAGUUGUGGGUUUUGUUUGGCCAACUUGAUCUAUGAUUCUUGCGAUGGGAGAAUUGCUUUGUUUUGGGUUCAUACCGUGUGGUGACCUCACCCAGUGACAGAAGGGGUAGCAAGGCACGCAUCGUGUUGUUGCCAUCAAGGGUAAAAAGAUGGGGUUUACAUCAUUGGUUUGAGUUUAUCCAUCUACAUCAUGUAAUCUUGCUUAAGGCGUUACUCUGUUCGUCAUGAACUCAAUACACUAUACGCACGCUGGAUAGCGGUCGAUGUGUGGAGUAAUAGUAGUAGAUGCAGAAAGUAUCGGUCUACUUGUCUCGGACGUGAUGCCUAUAUGUAUGAUCAUUGCCUUAGAUAUCGUCAUGACUUUGCGCGGUUCUAUCAAUUGCUCGACAGUAAUUUGUUCACCCACCGUAAUACUUGCUAUUUUGAGAGAAGCCUCUAGUGAACACUAUGGCCCCGGGGUCUACUUCACAUCAUAUUUUCAGCCUUACACUUUUACUUCGUUGCACCUUCCGCCUUCAGAUCUCACUUUGCAAUCAAUCUUGAAGGGAUUGACAACCCCUUUAUAGCGUUGGGUGCAAGCUUGUUUGUGUUUGCGCAGGUACUCUGGACACUUGGUUUGAUUCUCCUACUGGAUUGAUACCUUGGUUCUCAAAACUGAGGGAAAUACUUACUGCUACUGUGUUGCAUCACCCUUUCCUCUUCAAGGGAAAAACCAACGCAAGCUCAAGAGGCAGCACACCACCACCUGCUACUGAAUCUAAUAUGUAGCAAGUAAUUGAUGAUGCUACUUCUGCUAUGCAUGUUGCCUAUGAUGAUACUUUGCUCGAUACUAUUGUGCCUCUUGGUGAAUUUCUUGAUGAACAAAUUGCUAGAGUGAAUGCUGAAACUGAUGAUAUUGCUGAAUCUGAUGAAAUUAGUGAAACUGAACACUAUGAUGCACCUGCUAGACCUAGCUCUCCUAGAUAUGAAUUGCCUAAUAUACCUAAGGGUUAUGUUAUGGAAGGAUAAGUAGCCAGGGACUUUCUUGCUUGCAAGGAUAGAGAUGAUCUUAAGAAAUUGCUAUGCAAGUGGAAGGAAAAAUCUUUGAAUGCUAAAAUGCAAUAUGAUCCCAAGUUUGUUACUUCACCUAUUUUUGUUACGGAUAAGGAUUAUGAAUUCUUUGUCGAUCCUGAGUUAAUUACUUUGGUAGAAUCCGAUCCUUUCCAUGGUUACGGAUCUAAAACUAUUGUGGCACACCUUACUAAAUUGUAUGAUAUAGCCACCCUUUUUACUCAUGAGGAAAAAAAUCGUUAUUACUAUAUUCUUAAGUUGUUUUCGUUCUCAUUAAAGGGUGAUGCUAAGAUGUAGUUUAAUUCUCUUUCUCCUGGUUGUGUGCGUAGUCCCCGGGAUAUGAUUUACUACUUCUCUGGAAAAAACCUGCCCAUAAGAAACAGGUUGCUUGCAGAAAAUAUUUAACUUUGUGCAGAUUGAAGAAGAGAGACUCCCACAAGCUUAGGGGAGGCUUCUCCGGUUAUUUAAUGCUUUGCCUGACCACCCUCUCAAGAAAAAUUGAAUACUUGAUAUCUUUUAUAAUGGACUAAUCGAUGCUUCUAGGGACCACCUAGAUAGUUGUGCUCGUUGUGUUUUCAAGGAAUGAAGUGUUGAACAAGCUGAACUACUAUUGAAUAAUAUAUUGAGCAAUGAUAAUGAUUGGACUAUUCCUGAACCACCUCCAAAACCAACUCCGAAGAAAAGAGGUAUUCUAUUCCCCAGUCCUGAAGAUAUGCAAGAGGCAAAGAAAUCUAUGAAACAAAAAGGUAUAAAAGAUGAAGAUGUUAAGAAUCUACCAUCUAUUGAAGAAAUACAUGGUCUUGAUAACCCGACACAGGUAGUUGAGGUAAAUUCUCUUCGUAGAUUUGAUGAAGGUGAUAUUCCUUAUAAUAAGUCUGCUAGCCAAUGCUUGGAUGAAUUUGAUAACUUUGUGGUUAAACAAGAAAAGUUCAAUGCUUAUGUUAGGAGACAAUUGAAACAUAAUGAUUACAUGCUUGAUCGCUUGGGUGAUUAUAUGAGUAGAACUGUUAAUGACCUUAGUCUUAUUAGCAAACAUGCUUCCAUGGUAACUACUCUUGAUAACCAACAAGUAUAGGGGAUCACAACAGUUUUCGAGGGUAGAGUAUUCAACCCAAAUUUAUUGAUUCGACACAAGGGGAGCCAAAGGAUAUUCUCAAGUAUUAGCAGCUGAGUCGUCAAUUCAACCACACCUGAAAUAGUUAAUAUAUGUAGCAAAGUAUUUAGUAGCAAAGUAGUAUGGAAGUAACAGUAAUGGUGACAAACGUGAUAGUAGCAGUUUUGUAGUGAUUGUAACAGUAGCAACGAAAAAGUAACUUAGCAAAGAUCAAUAUGUGGAAAGCUCUUAGGCAAUGGAUCAGUGAUGGAUAAUUAUGUCGGCUCGCAUUCAUCAUGCAAUAGUCAUAACAUAGGGUGAUACAAAACUAGCUCCGAUUCAUCAAUGUAAUGUAGGCAUGUAUUCCAUAUAUAGUCAUACGUGCUUAUGGAAAAGAACUUGCAUGACAUAUUUUGUCCUACCCUCCCGUGGCAGCGGGGUCCUAAUGGAAACUAAGGGAUAUUAAGGCCUCCUUUUAAUAGAGAACCAGACCAAAGCAUUAGCACUUAGUGAAUACAUGAACUCCUCAAACUACGGUAAUCACCAGAAAGAAUCCCAGUUAUUGUCACCCUGGGGGAUGCGGAUCAUAACUCGUAAUAGGUGUCUAUAAGUUGCAAGAUAGGAUCAAGAACACAUAUAUAUUCAUGAAAACAUAAUAGGUUUAAAUCUGAAAUCAUGGCACUCGGGCCCUAGUGACAAGCAUUAAGCAUAGCAAAGUCAUAGCAACAUCAAUCUCACAACAUAGUGGAUAGUAGGGAUCAAACCCUAACAAAACUAACUCGAUUACAUGAUACUCCCUCCGUUCCAAAAUAUAAGACCUUUUAGAGAUU